This 65618-nucleotide long non-coding RNA is filed under the name Eucalyptus grandis. RNAcentral describes it as "long non-coding RNA (EGRA_LNC000870)". Lineage: Eukaryota; Viridiplantae; Streptophyta; Magnoliopsida; Myrtales; Myrtaceae. The record is from RNAcentral.
AAAAGGAAAGCCUUUAUUUUCGACUUUAGAUGUGGCUAAUCCUAUGAUGCCCUUGCUGUCUAAUUGUUAGUUGCAUCGUAACUUAGCAUUGAUCUUUUGUUGAGUAGUUCUGCAAGCGCACUAGACUCUAUUGCAUGCAAAAUUGCCACAUUUCGCUUGAAUCCAGAGGCCAUGUUUUUUUAUCCGCUAUGAGGUUUCUCUGUGUUUGAAGGUCCUAGAUCAAUUUAAGGAAAAAUAAAUCAGAAAAAUAAAAGUAAGCUGGUUCAAGGUCAACUAAUUUGGUUCUCGGUUACAAAAACAGAGAAUUGAUAUUACAAAAUAACCUAAUUUUGAGUUUAGAAUCUACUCAUCUCAAAACUGAUCAUCCUAAGAGUAACUCUUCUCUUAAGAUAUUUCAUCUGACAAUUUUACCUUCCUAUAUAACACUCUAGAUGAGUAAUAUUAUGUUUUCCUCGAAUUGUUGGACCAUUAAUCCUAUAACAUAUGUUCCCUUUCACCUCUAACUCAUUUUUUCCCCUCUUUAGCAAGAAAAGAAAGAAAGAAAGAAAAACUCAUUUUCUCCCUUCAAAGCUUUAAAAAUUGAUCGAUUCUUUACUUGGAAAAAAGAAAAGUAAAUGAGUAAUAAAAAAGUAUGGGGAAAGUUUGUGCAUUUUAACCAUAUCGCUACUUUUCACCUGCUCUCAAGUAAUGAUAGUUUCAAUCAUCACAACAUAAAACAUACCAAAAUCCAUAGCAUGAUACUUCUUAAUUUUUUUACAUGAUAUCUAAUAGUGAGAAAAAAAAAUAGUUCGAUCUUAUGACACACGCAAGAAAACAAUUAAAUAAGUCGAGCCAUAUGCACAUGCUAGGAGAUUCACCCUGCUUUAUAUCACUCAUUUCUUACGCCUCUUUUGUUGCAAAGAAUAAAUUCGUUCUUGAGAUAUGUGAUUAAUCAAUUUAACCUGACGUAUCUCAAAUUUAGCCGAUAAUCUUAUUCUACUUCCAUUUUAUUGGAUAAAAAAUCUUUUUGGUGAUAUUCUCAAGGUGGGCCCUCCAACGAAAAUGGGGACAAGCACUCAACGCUAUUGUUUCAAAUCUUGGUUGUCUCUGAAUUUUCCUCAGCAACUUCCUUUUACUUUCUUUCUUCUCUUUUUCUCUUUCUUCCAUUGAAUCAGUACCUAAUUUCUAAUCGUUCAGACUAACAAGGAGAAAGAAAAGAGUGCAUAAAAAGAGAGUACUGAGGGAGCAUCCGCUCCACCUUUUGGUGUCACCUAACAAAUUAUAUCUCUAUUUUACAAUCAAGAUAUCAAUCAACUUUUAGAUUUGAAAAUUUGAAAUAAAAGGCUCAGCGAUAACACACUAGUUCAAAAUAAAUUCAUUUUAAAUGGAAUUGUAGCAUGUGGUGCUAGCAGGGAAUAGAUGAAAGAUAAAUAACCACGAGCACUUGUUUAUCUCUGUCUCACAUUUCCAACUUCAUUAAGAAUAUUGCAAUUUUAAACAAAAUUAAAAUAUAAAAUCCCAUUGACAAUUAGUAGCUCGGUCCUUUCUUGAUGUCUUUCACAAAUCUCUAAUUCCGUUCCAACUCAAUCACUAACUUUUAAAUGGUUUAUCAAAUAUCUGUUAAAAAAAAUUGGUUUAUCAAAUUAUGGUUUUCAAUAACCAAAUAAAAAACUGGACGGAUGAUUAUAUUUUUAAGCGAAUGCAAUAUGCUUGUGCACAUAUUAUAGUUCUUUAUGGCCCAAUUGAAAAAUUAACGUACAUAUUACUUAUGAGUGGAUCAAGCCAACAAGUUUUGACUUGAAUAGAAUGAGGUCCAAAAGAAGAUAAGGUGAGGACUAAAAGCAUCUACAACUGCUCCUAGUCAAUCAAUUACCAAUUAUUUAAAGUUUUCAUGUUCGUUUUUUCUUGCAUGGUAACAUAUUCAUGCUCAUAAUUGUUCAUCGAUCCUUUUAUCCAGCAGAAAAGCAUCUUUCAUUCCAACUUUCGCCCUCAAAUUGCCAUGCAUCUUUCAUUCCACUUUUUGCUUUUAAUUCGUGUUCAUGAAGUUUUCCAUGUGUCAUGAAUUCAUAAUUCAAAAGCCUUUUGGAUGUUACCUCUAAAUAUCGCUACUUCCUUCUAAAAGUAGGCCCAAAGACACCAUUCCCUUCUUUUCUAUGCUUUUUCCUAAAUUAUCUUCUUCUUCUUUUAAUAUUUCACAAACUUCUUUUUUCAGUGGAUUAUUGACUUUUCAAGAGCUGAAUGAUAUGCCAACAAAAUAGUAAUAAAAAAAUGACCCGGAAAAGAACUCAAGGACAAUGUACAAGUAUUUCAUUUGUCAUUAGUAACUUAAUACUAACGCAUUAUGCUUAUUUGGUGUCAUUUAACAAAUUAUAGCGCAGACAAUAUAUCAAUCUAUAAUUUAAAUUUAAGAGUUAAAAGCGAAUAGCUUGGCCCUUAUAUAGAAAUAUUGGCAUGUGGGGCUAGCAUGAAAUAAAUAAGAGAGAAAUGACAACAACCAUUUGUUCAUCUCUACCUCGCAUUUCCAACUUCAAUAAGAACAUGGCAAUUUUAAAUAAAAUUAAAAAUAUGAAAUCAUCGAAUUUGAACCAAAACAUUAAGGAAGUGAAGCAAGCGACCCGAAACGAAUAGGGAAACAACAUUCACACAAAAAGAGAAAAGAUCAUAGGAGGGGGAGGGAGGGAGGGAGGGAGGGAGAGAAAGAGAGAGGACCAAGCCAACAAUCAUUUGCAAAUGUAUCUUUCGUCUUUCAUCAAUCCUUUUAAGCAAAAGAUAAGCAUAUUUCUUUUCAACUUCCCCUCUUAGAUCACCAUGGAAGAGCAGAGUCAAAGAAAGAGAGCAGAGGAAGAGAGCACUCAGGGAGCAUCCUCUUCUUCAUCCAUCUCUUCAGAAGCCACAGAUUUAUGUAGUGGUCAAUAUAACGUGUUCUUGAGCUUUAAAGGCUCAUAUACUCGCAAGACAUUCACCGAUCACCUCUACCACAGUCUAAUCAAGGUAGGAACUGUACUGUUUUGCGUGUUUAGGGAUGAGAACAACAUCCCAAUUGGAGAGGAAUUUGGUUCAAAGAUUCUUGAUGCCAUCGUACGGUCUAAGAUUUCGAUCCCUGUCAUCUCCGAAAAUUAUGCUUCAAGCAAAUGGUGCCUCCGCGAGCUCAUUCAUAUCAUGGACUAUAAGAAGAGCGCGUCACACAUAAUGUUGCCUAUAUUUUACAAAGUUGCUCCAUCGGAUGUGCGGCAUCUAAAAGGAAAUUUCGGAAAUGCCUUCCAAUCGAGUCGGGAACGUUUUGAUGAGAAGGAUAUCCAGGAAGGGCAACGAGCACUUAAUGAAGUCAGUUACUUAAAUGGAUGAGAAUCUCAAAAAAUUGAGGAUGGGUACUUUACUAAACUUUUCAUAAGUUUUCUUCUUCUCGCAAAACCAAGGACAUGAAGAUGAAUUACUUUCAUUGCAAGCUCAAAAAAGAUCCCCAAAAUAAACAACCAAAAUGACUUGAAGACAACAAACACCAGUACGCCCCAAUAGUCCCUAAAAACCAAACCAACGACACCUAAAACCAAAGCAUCCCAUAGUGCCCAAGAAUUUACAUUUUCCUCCAGUAUAGAGCCAAAAAAAGAAAGAAAUGACAAUACAUCCAGCCAAUAGUAUCAAUCACUAAACAAUAGGCCUCCAAAUGACUCCAAUGCUCGGUCUUCAAAGCUUGAUCACCACCAGAUAAAAUCAACCUCCUAUAGCCAACAAGUGUUGGCUCAGUUGAUAAGGAUAGAAUACUUUGCAUAGACUAUGUCUAGGUUCAUAACUUCUCAUUGUUUUUGUUGUUUGACAGGCAUGAGGGAAAAUUAAUAGAACAUGUGGUUGAAACAGUUAUAAGCAAGUUACGGAAAGAUUUUCAGCUGGAUAUGCCUGAGCAACUAGUUGGACUUGAUGAUCGUAUGAAGGAAAUUAUGAAUUGGAUCGACAAUCCUUCCAUGAAUGCUCGAAUGAUUGGAAUUUAUGGCAUGGGCGGGAUAGGCAAGACAACUCUUGCCAAGUGCAUCUACAAUCAACUCUCAAAUAAAUUUGUGCAUGUUAGCUUCCUUCCAGAUGUUCGAGAAACUACCAGGCGCCACGGUAUUACAUAUCUACAGAGUCAACUAAUAUCAGAUAUACUACAAAGCAAAAGUGAAGUGUCUAGAAUUGAUGAUGGAAUUAGUAUAAUCAAAUCUAGAUUCAAAUGGAAAAAGGUUCUCAUUCUUCUAGAUGAUAUAGAUUACAAGAGUCAACUAGAUGCGUUGGCUAGGGAGCGUCAUUGGUUUAUGGUAGGAAGUGUGAUCAUUGUUACAACUAGAAACAAAGCCAUUCUUGAUCAAUCUAAAUUUGAGGUAGACUACAAGUAUGAAUUGAAUGAAUUGGAUAAGGUGCAAAGUUUGCUUUUGUUCAAUAGACAUGCAUUUCGUAUGGACCAUUCUUUGAGGGAGUUUGAGGGUAUAUCUCGUGAUAUCAUAUCCAACAUGGGUGGGCUUCCCUUGGCAAUUCAAGUUGUAGGUUCAUACUUGUAUAAAAAAAUGAAUAGACAGGUAUGGGAAGACGUGCAGGAGCAAUUAAAAAAUGAACCACAUAGAGAUGUCCAAACGAUAUUGCAAAUCAGUUAUGAUGCAUUAGGAGAUGGAGAAGAGCAGAUUUUUCUCGAUAUUGUUUGUUUCUUUAUUGGCAAAGAGAGAAGAUUCGCCCAUGUACAUGUGGGAGGACUGUGGGCUUUAUCCAAGUCAAGGUAUUGAAGAGUUAGAGUUGAGGUGCUUAAUUAAAAUUAGAGAUGAUGGUUGGUUUGAGAUGCAUGACCAAUUGAGAGAUCUUGGAAGGAGCAUUUUUUGCCAAGGACAACCGCUUGAGAAACGUAGCGGACCAUGGGACUACAACUACAAGAGACUCUCAAAAGUACUACGUUUUGGAUUGGUAAAAUAUGGCACUGCUUUCUUUAUUACUCCCUCUUAUUUUAAUAUAUUUAAUCUAAUCUAUUCUACAAUUUCAUCUAGGAUUGACAUGUGCUCUUACUUUCUUGGAGUAAACAUCCACUUAUGUCCAUCUUAGAUUUAUUAUGACAGCUAAAUGAUUAUAAGUGUCUAAAGGAUGAAAAAGUUAUACCAUUUCAUUCAAUUUCAUUGAUAUAAAUUACAUUUGUAAAAAUUUGAUUGACAUUCAAUUUAAGAUCCUUUAACUACAAUUUACACUAUAAAUCUAGUUCACUAAAAGCAUGUAAUUGUCAUAUCUAGUUGAAAAUAUUGAUAAUCUAAAGGACUACAAUAAUGAAUGAAGAUGAAAUAUAAACAUCAUAGAUAAGAUAAAUGAAGAUAUCUUGAAAAAAAAAAAAAAGAUAGCAUGUGCCAAAAAUAAUAACUGAUAAGUAAUUCAAAAUGAUAAGAUUGGAAAAAAUUUCACACUUAUCACAUGUUCUUGCUUACUAGUGUGGCCAAAUCUAUUGGUGGUACUCUUGUGAUUUAGGAAUCCAAUGUUUGAUAUUUUUUUCUCCAUUUUGAUUUUGAAGAUACCCGUCCCUCUACUCUGCUAGUUAUAUCUAUCUCUUAUUUCCUUUUAAUAGAUAAGAUAGCGAAAAUUCCCUUAAAAGUUUUUUUUAGGAAAAUCUUACUUUUUUUAAGGUUUUGUCACAUUGACCUUGCUCAUUUCAUGGAUUAGGUUAGGUGUACGAUAAAUAGUGGAUUUUCUUAUAACAAACAUUUGUAUCCGCUCUAAGUUACUUAUAGCACAUACAACUAUUUGUAACAAAAAAAUCCAUGAAAACUGGCUAAUUGGAGGAAAUGCCAUACUUAUUAUUAUAUCCAUACCUUUGAGUAUAAUGAUGCUCAGCAUGAAGCCAAUAUUUUAGUUAAAUUAACAAUGUUCGUGUCAUUUUAUUAUUAUAUAUUAUCCAUUUAGGUUGCCUCAUGAUAUGAUUUAUACACUAUUGUCCAAUAUCACCAUGUCACUUGUUAAACAGACUUAACAAAAAAAAAGUUUCAGUUUUCAAAAAAAAAUGAUUAAACACUUCACAACAAUAGAUAAUGAUGUUAAAGAUAUGUAAAUAUCUUCUAGAGAUAUUUAGGAUAUUUUCUCUGAGUUUCUAUAUGUAUUUUGAUCAUAUCUGAUUUGACUUUCUUUGAUUUCCUUAGAUAGUCCUGUAAUAGAGUUUAUAAAUAGGCUCUCAAUGUAAUCUCUUCUAUAUAUAGAAAUAUAUUGAAAAUUCCCCAUUUUUUCUCUUCGACAUUAUUAUAUUUAACUAAUGAAAUGAAAAGCAGGUGUUUCCAUAGCUACUUACAGGUGGCCCACUGACAGUCCUUAACAAAUUCUUUCCAAAAUUAUACGAAAGUCAUUAAACUUUACAAAUAAACAUUUGUAUGUGGUAAAAUGGUUUCAUGUAUUUCGUAUUAAAAAAAGUCAAAGUGCACAUGUUACAAAAUUUGAAAAAAAGAAGAAGAAAAAAAUAAAACAUUGAGUUGCAUUUGCUUUAGUUGUUUUAGAGCAAUAACCAUUUUUUCUUUAUUUUCACGUCAUUUGUUUAAUUUUCGAAAGGAAAUUAAAUGUAACUUCACGUGUCCGUAUUUGUACACUGGGAAGGAUAGGGAGGUUACAAAUCGUGCAAAAUCUGAGAUUUAAGAAAAGAAAAAUCUAAAAAGUUAAAAGAAAAAAAAAACUUGCAGAGAUGCAAGAAAAAUCUAAAAAGUUAAAAGAAAAAAAAAAAAAACUUGCAGAGAUGCCCCUUAUGGUUCCGCAAAAUUUUGCGGAGACGCCUCUCCUGGUUCUGCGACAUUUUACGGGCAGAUUCAAGCAGGAACGCCAAUGACGAUCUCCUUUAUGAGGUGAGAUGGCUUCAGUGGAUGGUCGAGCAAAGUGAUUUGUCUCUUUGGAUGAUUAAUUUGCAUCUACCGAAAUUAUCGAUACUGGAUUUAUCAUAUAGUAACAUCACAGAGAAUUGGCGAGGAUGGAGUUCAUUCACUGUAAGAUUGAAAAAAGAAGAUAUCCUUUUUGCGAUUUUAGGGUUUUGUACUUGUUUAGCCGAUCAACUCAUUCUUUGACAGCUUAUUCUUCUUCUGUAUUAGGCAUCAAAGCGACUGAAAGUUCUCAACCUUGAAUGUUGUCCUAAUUUAAGAUGUACUCCUUAUCUCUCGGCAUUCACCCAGUUGAAGAUUCUCAUCUUGAGCCAUUGUGGCGGACUGGAGCAUCUCCACCCUUCUAUCGGCAAACUCAUGAGCCUUGUUUCCUUGGAUUUGAGUUUCUGUGGAUGUCUCAAGGAGCUACCAGAGGAGGUGGGUGAAUUAAAAGAUUUAGAAGAACUUAAAUUAGAUUCUUCUGGUAUUACAAAGAUUCCUAUGUCUAUCGGUUUUUUGAGAAAGCUGGAGAAAUUGAGUGCCUUCUAUUGUGGGUCACUGAGAGAAAUCCCUAGCUCAAUUGGGUAUUUACAGAAUUUGCAACAGCUUCACUUGAGUCAUUCUGCGAUCGAAAAGCUUCCCAAUGCUAUUGGAAAGUUGAAAAAUCUGCGAACUCUAAAUCUCUCACGGUGUGAUAAUCUGAAAGGGGCAAUUCCAAGUGAAAUCAGUAACUUGCCUUUCCUCAAGUGUCACGUCCCGAUCCUCGGGCACGCACACAUCCUUCUUACUUGGUCGAUUUUAUAAUGCGAUAUCCCAGGACUAUAUAUCGCCGACCCUUUCAUUUAUUAAGCACAUGUGGAAGCAGUUAAAAUCCUCAGACAAUAAAAUAAUGGGAUAGAAAAACAGGGCAAUAUUUUUCAUAUUGAAACUUAUAACCAAACUUUUAUACAAACCACAAACUAGAGCACUUCACAACUUUUUACUUUAAACUCUAUUCACAUCAAAAUGAAAAUCUCAAAAGAAGAUAAACUCUCAGCCAUCCAGGCCGUACUCAAGGCCCUUCUCGGGAUUAUCAUCUUCUCCCAAAAAUCUUUCUCCUUAAGAUUCGCCUCCGAGUCCUCCUUCUCGAAUUCCUCCUUCUCAGCUCUUCAGCGGGGUCCUGAAAUGGUUUUCCCCAAACUGGGAUGAGACUACGUCUCAGCGAGUUCUACCCCACUAAGCCCGAUUAGGUAAACCAUUAUACUAAAGGCUGCCUAAACACGCACAGGGCAGAGGACUUACCUUGGCCUCUGAUCCCAGCUGCAAGUCAGUACAAUUCACAAUAAACAGCCAUUUNNNNNNNNNNNNNNNNNNNNNNNNNNNNNNNNNNNNNNNNNNNNNNNNNNNNNNNNNNNNNNNNNNNNNNNNNNNNNNNNNNNNNNNNNNNNNNNNNNNNNNNNNNNNNNNNNNNNNNNNNNNNNNNNNNNGGACCCACGUGCAUUCUCUAAGGCGACCUCUCGCCAAGGUGGUACAUCAAGCCACCGAGCCACGUGUCCUUUUUACGAUGCCCGGGCCCACGUGCAUUCUCUAAGGUACUCGCUUACCAAAGUGACGCAUCAGAUCACCGAGCCACGUGCCCUUUUAGAUGCCAUUCCAAAUACUAGACCCACGUGCAUUCUCUAAGGUACUCGCUUACCAAAGUGACGCAUCAGAUCACCGAGCCACGUGUCAUUUUAGAUGCCUGGGCCCAUGUGCAUUCUCUAAGGUACUCGCUUACCAAAGUGACGCAUCAGAUCACCGAGCCACGUGCCCUUUUAGAUGCCAAACUCUGUCACCGAGCCACGUGCAUUCUCCAGGACGACAUACCGAGUCUCCGAGCCACGUGCAUUCUCUCAGGCGACCUCUUCGCCAAGGUGACAUAUUCAACCACUGAACUCACGUGCAUUUUCCAGGUGACAUUCCAAUUCACCGAGCCCACGUGUCCUCUUUCAAGUGGUUACCAAUCUUCUUUCAAUACCGACAACCAAUGCCCAACGAUUUCUCAAUCAAAUAAUUAAAUCAACUCAACAAAGAAUUAUAAAUGCUGAAUAACAUACUUGGCCAAUCACCAAUCAAUAAUUCAAUCUCAAUCGAUUCCAAUCAAUUUAGGAUAAAUCCCUAAAAUAUCACAAUUUAUUCAAUUCCAUACAACGUAGAGCUCAAAUAAAUAAACGGACUACGCCACGACAAUCAGCACGAGAUUUUGGUCGUCGGCCAUCAAAAUCUUAAUUUCCGAAAAAUAAUUAAUUAAAUAAUUAAUUUCGAAAAUUAAAUAAUUAAUAUUAAAAAUUCAAUUUAGCUCAAAAUAAAGCCUGAUUAAAUAAACGGACUUCACCACGGUCAUCAGCAUAAUAUUCCGGUCCCGGGCUAUCUCAGUUGAAUUUUCGGAAAAUAAAUAAUUAUUUAAUUUAAUUCCGAAAAUUAAUAUUUAAAUACUAAAAAAAUCCACUUAGGCCCGAAAAGCCUAAUUGGAGCCCUCUAAGGGUCAGGAAAAAUCCCGAGGCACUUCCAAUAAUUAGUAGACCACGUCUACUUGCUAAUUGCACAAUCAAUUUAUCUAAAUCGCAUCACAAUUGACUAAUAAUUGCUAAUUUAUUCUAAUCUAACAACCUAAACAUAAUUAAUUAAAUCUAAACCAACCUUAAGCAUAAUUAGCUAACUAAUCAAGGAUUAGUGAGAUUACUCACCAAAUCGCGCGCAAAUCGGAUCAAUCCGACGGCGGCGACGCGAGGAACGAAACUUCCCAAAGCGAUUCACGGAUCCGGGGCCUGGAAACGGCCCAAAACGAGCCUUGAACAGUGCUGGAAACCCAUUUUUCCAGCAACUGUUCUUGGCUGGACGAAGCUCGUUCGGUGGCUAGGGCGGCGAGGGGAGGCCGGCGGAGGACGAGGGGGACGCGGGGGAGGUCCGGCGGGGCUGGGCGGUGGCCGGAGGUGGCCGGACGGGGGUUGGUCAGGGCGAAACCGAGUUGAACAGAGGCUGGUUCGCUCGGGGAGGUCGCCUGGUGCGAGGGAACGGAGCUGGCGGUGCACGGCGGCGAGCGGCAGGCGCGCGGGCGGUUCGGCUCCAGUGCGGCGGCGAUGGGCGACGGGCUGCUGUCUCGGCUUCUUCCACCUCUAGUUCUGCUUGCCCGAAGAAGAAAGAUGAAAAAGGGGGUUCGGUCACGAAGGGGAGAAGAGAGAAGAGAGAGGAGAGAGAGAGAAGGGAUAAGGGGGUUUGACUGGUCAAAAAGAAAAAAAGGAGAGAGUAGGCGUGGGGAAGGGGUGUCCGCACGAAGGGGAGGGGAGAGGAGAGAGAAGAGAGAGAGAGGAAAGAGAGAAGAGGGAGAGAGAGAGAAAAAGAAUUAAAAUAAUAACAUUAUUCUUAUUUUUCUUUUUCUCUUUCCGAUUUUCUUUUCUAUUUUCUUUUGGUCUUCUAUUUUUCCUCCGAUAAUUUCUUUCUUGAAAUUUCGGACUUGGCAAUAAAUUGAUGGACGAUGAGACGGUCCUAAAAAUGAAUUGUGACACGCCCAAAUAUUCGAUUCCCAAAACCGAAUUAAAUUUCAUGAUUAAAAUCGACCAGACGCGAUUCUAGUCCAAUCCAACAAAUUAGGUAGCUUUUAGGGAUUUUACCACGGUUAUAUCCCUUAACGGCUUCACCCAAUUGGUUAGCUAACUCGUGAGUGAUCAGCUCAGAGAAAAAGGACCAUAGGCACGUCGACGAAAUGCACAUUUCAUUUUAUCGAAAUAUGGUCGAAUUUCAGGAAGUCACAUCAAGAUUCUCAUUAUUGAUUUCACACCGAUAUCUGACUUGCCGGAAAGCAUCCAGAAUCUUUCUUCUCUCCAACACCUUGACCUAUCGGGCUGUGAUGAGCUCCGGUCGCUGCCAGAGCUUCCUUCGGGCUUAACAUAUCUGUCAAAGCCCCCAAUUGUAAGAACUCCAUCUUCAGGUAUGCCAUCUACUUGAACACAUCCCAAGCUUUCCUCAAGACCCUUGAAACUCUGUGUUGAGGAGUGUGAUGAGCUGAUAUUGCUUAGGCUCAACAGAUUCAUGUACUUGGAAGAGCUUUCAAUAGAAAGGUGUAGUUCCAUCGAAAGAUUGGACAUUUGUCGAUUGAUUCGUCUGAGCAUUGCGAUAGCCUAGUUGAAAUUCAAGGCCAUGAUAAUUUGGCGUUCUGGGAGGUCAUGUUCAUAUAUGAUUUGAUAAGCUCAAUUUUCAUGUAUGCGGCACUGGAUUUGUGAAGUUGAAAUUGACCUCCUUGCAAAUUAUCCUAUAUUACUGAUUUUGCUAAUUGGAUCUUGCAAAUUAACCGGUGGCAAAUACAUCUUAUUGUCCUAUAGUUUAGGCACUUCACCUUUUCAGCAUAAUUUUUUAACUUCAAUUAUGUUCCUAGACACACACAGGGAAAGUGUUGCUAAAUUGCUUACUUCUUUUAGACCUGUUGGUUUCUUUUUCAUCGGCCAACUAAUGAAGUAUUUGUUCAUUGUGGUCCAACUCCAAUUGGUGUCAAUGUUUAUGCAAUUUUACCUUAUCUAUCAUGGGGUAAAUUCUGAUGCUACGAUCUUGGAUAUCUUCAUUUAUUGAUAAUUAGUCAGUGCUAUCUUCCUUGUGCAGAUUCAGAUUAAAGUUGCAUUUGAUGAAACUUGAUGAAACUUGAAGAAACUCCCAAAACACCACGGGUUGGAGAUAUAGGUAAGAAUGAGCUAUGUCGGUAUGGAAAGGCAUUCCGAAGUCAUUUGCGAUUGGCGUUUAUCAUUUGCUCCAUGUUGUUAAGAAGGAUUCUUGAUAAAGGCGAUCUCUACUCAUGUGGUGUAGUAGUCCGUUGCAAGCUUUGAAAUUGUGCUAUUCUUUAGCAAAGGCUGCAUCACAAAUCUCUUGGAGGAAGACCGCAUGUGCAGGUGGUUUUAUAUGUGAAGUCAAGCAUAAAAUAAGAUUUGUUAACAGGAUUACCAUUUAGAUUUCCACCUCAAGCUACAGUUUUGUGACCGGGAAAGACCUUUUUGUGGAAAAAGCAAAUAAUCUGUCAAUUGCACCCAGUUUCAAUGAAAAGGUUUCCAAGAAGACUGUAGUUUCUCAUUUGGAAAAAUUUUGAACACAAAAUAAAGGCCAUCAUUAGUGUAAAAUCAUCUCUUGUAUGGUUACGUUUGAAAAUUCAUAUGCAGGCUUUUUGCAAUCACUUUGGUUUUAUAACCUAAAACUUGAUUUAUUUAAGCAUGAAUUAAAAAGCAGAAGAGACACAGCCAUGUGCAUUUUCAUACCUAAAACCAAGUAGAGUGCUCUCUCUCUCUCUCUCUCUCUCUCUCUCUCUCUCUCUCAGAUCAAGCAAGCACUGGGGUCUAGAGUGAAGUAUUUGGUUGUUUUAUGCAAUUCUCGAUCAAAUAAGCAUGAAUUAAAAAGCAGAAGAGACACAGCCAUGUACAUUUUCAUACCUAAAACCAAGUAGAGUGCUCUCUCUCUCUCUCUCUCUCUCUCUCUCUCUCUCUCUCUCUCUCUCUCUCUCUCACAGAUCAAGCAAGCGCUGGGGUCUAGAGUGAAGUAUUUGAUUGUUUUAUGCAAUUCUCGAUCAAAGGUUUGUCUGAGUCUCUAGUGUGUAUGGAGUUUAUGUGGGGUCUAUUUCUUGAAGGAGAAUCUGUGCAGAAAAAAUAGUUAUUCUAUUCUUCUUCCGAGUUCUUCUCGCAAUAAACGCUAGUAGCAUUGAUUAUUUGACGUCGUCUUGAUUUUGAGGUUCUUCUUUGAAUGUGGUGUUAAAUGACAAAGAAUGAAUCGGUAGUUCAAGUGAAAAUUGUUGUUUAAGUUGUUUGGACAAGGACGAAGGCAAUUGGUAGAAGCUAUAAGAUUUAUUGAAUGAAUGUGUUUAUUGCAGAAAAGAGGAGAAGAAAGCAAAGAAGAUCAUAUCAAAGCCAAGAUGGGAGAAGGUGCAUCUCAGCGUUCGGCUGGAUCACCAAGUUGAAAUUGGAGAGAGUGGCAAUCUUAGGAUCCACAAGAAAUUUGAUCGUGGAAGAAGAAUGUGGCAAUGGACUAGGACAAGAGCAGAUGGAUAUGUGAGUUAGAACUGAAAGGAGGUGAAUCUAUCGAAUUAGAAGUACUAAUAUAAGAUUUUGCUGAUAUUACUGAUAUUCCCACACCUGUCGGUUCUUUGAGGAAACUCGAGAAACCGAGUGCCAGCUAUUGUGAGUCACUUAGAGACAUCGCUAGCUCAACUUGGGACUUACGAAAUUUGCAACAUAUGGACAUUAGUGGUUCUGGCAUUGAAAAGCAUCCUAGUGCUAUAGGAAGGUUUAAAAAUCUGUGCACUAUAAGUCUCCUAUCAUGCUGUAAUCUGAAAGAGCAAUUCCAAGUGAAAUUGGUGACUUGUCUUCGCUUGAGAUUCUCUAUGUUACUUGAGGAAGUUUUGAUGCUUGUGAGGAUCCAAAAAACUUUAUCUGGUCUUGACAGCACAUACUUGAAUGAUUUUGAUGUUGUAUUUUGAGUUGAGUCUGCUUUUUGUAUGCUCACGAGGUUCAACCUCUCUGUUAAUCAAAUACAUAGAUACUGAUAUUUUUUUUUAUGUCACUCUGAUGCAUAUGUCUUUGAUGUUGUUGCAUUCUAAUGUUAUCACUUCUGAACUCAAAAAGGCUUUGCAGAGGGAGGUAUGCACUACUAGUCAUGCCAUAAAAUUAAAAAAAUAACCUGUGUGCUUAUACUAUAUGAGCUGUGGGAUUGCACCUGAAAAUCAAUAUGCACGUAUUCAUGAGGACGAUCUCCUUCAUUUCUAUCAGUUUAUCAAUGUGAUACUAUCCUUUGAAUGUUGUCAUAUAGGUUUCUGAUUUUAGUAAUUUGCUAAGCUCAAUUCUCAUGCAACGUCAACUUUGUAAAGUAGAAAUUCACCUUCUAGCCAAAUAUCUUGUAUUGCUGAUUUUGCUAACGGGGCUAACGGGAUAUUGCAAAAUAACCAAGACAUAAAUUCAUCUUUCUGUUCUGUAGUUUAAGCACUUUGCCUUCCAGCAUAUUUUUGUUGACAUCAAUUGUGUUCUUAAACACAAACAAGAGUAGUGUUGCUAGUUGCUACUUCUCCCAAACCUGUUGUUUUCUUUUUCAUGGGCCAGCUCAUGAAGUCUCUGUUCAUUGCGGUCCAAUUGCAAUUGGUGCAAUGAUGCUUGUGCAUUUGUACCUUAUCUCUCAUAAUGUAAAUUGUGAUGCUCCGAUCUCAAUUAUCUCCAUUUAUUGAUAAUUAGUAAAUCAUAUCCUUCUUGUGUCGAUUCAAGCUGCAUUUCAUAAAAUUCAGAGAACAUUCCCAAACAUCACUGGACGAAGAUGUGGACCGGAAUGAGAUAGGUCAUGAGACGUUAAGGAAAGGCAUUCCAAAGUUCUUUGCAAAAGGUGCUUAUAACGUGCUCCAUGCUGAUCAUCUUGAUAGGGUUUUUGAUAUAAAGGGACCUCUUCUAAUGUGGUGCAGUAGUCCUUUGCAAGCUUUGAUAUCAUGCUAUUAUUUAGCAAAGGUUGAAUUUCAAAAUGCUUGCAGGAAUGCUGCAUGUGCAGGUGGUUCUAGAUAUGAAGUUAAGCAUAAAAUCAUGUUUGUCAACAAGAUUACUGUUUAGAUGUCCACUUCAAGCUACAAUUUUGUGAAUGCGAGAGACUUCUUUCAUGGAAAAAGCGAAUGUCAUGGAAUCAGUAAAUAAUCUGUCAACUGCAAGCUAGAUUUUCAGUAAAAAGCUUCCCGAAAGAUAGUAGUUUUUCAUUCAGAAGAAUUUUGAGCACAAAAAAAAAGUGUUCGUUAGUGUACAAUCAGCUCUAGUUUUUCAUUUAGAAGAAUUUUGAGCACAAAAUAAAAGUGUCCGUUAGUGUACAAUCAGCUCUUGGAUCUCAAACUUGAUUCCUUUUGAGCAUGAGUCUAUAAAGCAGAGUGGACACAGCCAUUCAUUUUCAUACUUGAAACCAAAUUUUCUUUGGCGUUGGCUACAGUUUAAGACUGAUUAAAAAAAAUGUUAAGAAAAAUCUUUGGAAGGGUGAAAGAAGCCCCUCCCAAAAUUUAUACUUAUUUGGUUUGGACCAAACCAUUGAAUGGUCGUCUACUUGGUUAGUACUUGGACUCUACUUCCAAAUUGUAGUAGUUGGUCAUGCAUUCAAGUUUCAAUCGAACCAAUUUUUUUGGGGCUAGUACUCUCAGAUGUUCCUCUUCAUCGUACUACAUUACAUUGGUGGAACUUUAGUAGUUAAAAGAUACUCACAAGAUAAUCAUAUAUUCCGAUUCAGUCAUUGUCUACUAGAACUUUAACUCAAUACUUUCCGGAGCUUGAGACAAGGCCAAGUAACUUGUUAAGCCAAGUUUGAAUCUUUAAGCACUAAAUCAUACAUAAUGCGGGCCGCACGAACGAGUCAAAACAUUAGUUAAAUAUAUUAAACACAAAAUAAUCUAAUUUUGAGCAUAUUAAUUAUAUAUAACACGAGAAAAGUCGCAAGUAAAGUCAAUCUAUUGAUUAUAUAAUUUAUAACAUAGCUACUCAAUAACACAAGAAUGAUAGUAUGCCAUUUCUUUUUAUAGCAUACAAUCUAGACCUCUACAGUAUGCCAUUUCUUGACGGGCUACUAAUCCAGCAUGAUAGUACAAUGUCUUUAUACAUCACUUCUUAUUCAAGUAUUUUGCGACAUCAACGCAUUCACUCUUUGCAAGGCAAUAUACUAUGCCACAAAAAUUAGCAAAAUAAUUCUUUAGCAGCUCUCCAAGCUGCUUCAGUGGUUCCUCGGUCUUAGCUAUGACCUCAUAUUUUAGACUUAGUGUGACAUCCAGAAUUUUCAGUAUUGUUUUCUAUUAAAUUAAUUGGGCAUUUCAUUGACGGGUCUAUAGGGUUGUUCUCAGAGCUGAUCACUCUCGAGAUAACUAGACUAGCUGGGUAAGCCAUUAAAGAAUAUUAAGGCAAUAGACUUGAGAAUUCGACCAGGAAGCGGCUUCUCGACCGUGUUCAUUUUUAGAGGUCAUUACUGCACAGUAAAGAUCGAAUUGAGAUCAGAGAUAGGUCGGUUCGACUGAGAUGUGUGGCCGAUCGUGGGUGACUCCACUAAAUUGGAAAAUUCUCGUCGACCGGCACUAAUUUGAUUUUCUGUCGUUUUGGUACCCUGUGUUGGUAGUCGAGCCCUCGAGAUUUUCACGACAAUUGAGAGUCGCCAAUGUGUCGAGUGGGUUCAUUGUGGCUCGAAGAAAAUCGACCACGAGUCAAUUGCCCUAAAAAGUUCUGAAAACUACCCGGUAGUCUAGGUCACACUAAAAGCACGCCGGAGUGAAAUUAACCGUCGAUUUGAGUCAGAUUUCAGAAAUCGAAAGUUCAGUGAUGUCACAAGCUAUUUUUGGAGCAUCGACUCAGUCUUAGAAGAUUUUCGGAGAUUCAGGAAUUUUUACAGAAAACCGUUUCGGACGUCGCGGAAGUUUGGCCGAAGUUCAGAUUGGCUAAAAUAAUGGGAAAUUUGACUUUCGGGUUGAGCUUGUGUGUGUCGGAGAUUUAUAGAAGCCAAAUGAAGAUGGAUUGAAAUUAUUCAAGUAUCCAAUUGAGAGGAGAUGAUCCCAAAUUCGUAACCCCCCAUAAGCCUAGCUAAUUUGAACCAAUUGGAAGGUCAUGGAGACUGUCUUGGUGGCUCAUUGGAGGCCAUGAGUUAUACUUGGCCUAGGAUAAAUCUUAGAGAGCAAGAUUGGAAAAUAUCAAGCCUUGGUGGAGCCCUCCACUCUCUCUUAUCCUCAAGACCAUGCGUGACCAGCAAAAAGGGAGGUAGAACCAGCAAAGCUUCCUCCGCGUGUCUUCCUCAACUCCACUUCUCUGCCCCGUAAACGACUGCAACCCAGCGUCCACCGAAGCCAUCUACCGAGCUUUCUUCAUGUCAGCUGCGAGAUCUUCAAUUUAAAUUGCUCCUCGCCACUUGUCCAUGUCCAGUGGAUCUUCAGUCAAUAGCAGCCGAGUUUCUCCCAUUCGGUUGACCCUACAACGCCAGCGAAGAUCCCUGCAGCAGCUUCACCGAGUCCAACAUCUUCAGUCUUCCCCUGUGGCGUGCCCUCAGCUCGACGCCAGCCCGCCAGUCAACUCCAACGCCCUCAGAAGACCACCGAUUCAACCAAGUCCUCGCCCACGCAGAUCCAGCAACCGAAGCUGCUCCCCAUCUCUGCCAUGUUUCGGUCGAUUUCACUGGUCAAAGUCCAGCUGAAAACCAUUGAAGAUUGAUCGAGGAAAUCCCCCACCGAGCGAAGCCCUGCCACGAAGCAAAUCCAAUUUCCUCUCCAUCUUCAGCGCCCGAAGUUCCUCACGUGGCCAGCUCCACCUUCGUUUAUUCACAAAUCAAUUCACCGAAGGCAGCAUCGAUCGGUCAAUUGACCGCAUACUCCCACGACCAGCUGCACGCGUGCCCUCAGCCCAAACCGAAGCUUCAGCCCAGCAAGUUGAUUGUUUUCACAAGUCAGCCCAGUCUUUGAAGUCCUGCGGCCCAAGAAGCCCAGCAAGUGCUAUUUCAGUCAAGCUUGGCCCAUUUCAGUAACAAAUCUCAGUUGGGCUGAGAUUUGUUGGGCCAAGGUCAAGGCCCGGGCCCAAGCCCGCCGGUGUUGUCGAAAGUCCGAUUUCGGCCGCCGUCGCGUCGCCGUUGCGGUGAUUCGGUCUCCGCUUUUGUCAAGUGAGUUUUACUCACUAAAGCUUUCUUAGUUUGCUAAAUAUGCUUAGGGGUUGGUUAGAUUUAAUUAAAUGCAAUUAGGUGGUUAGAUUAGUUUAGAUCAAUUAAAUUAGAGACUUAAUGAUGCAUGUUAGGUGGUUAGAAAUAGACAUUAGCAAGUAGACAUGCCCUGUUAUUUAUGGAGCGAAUCUCGGUAAUUUUCCGGGCUUGUCUCGGAAUCCAAUUCGGCAUUAUAAGCCUAAAUUGGAUUUUUAUAAUUAUUUAUUUAAUUUUCGAAAUUAAUUAUUUAAUUAUUUAUUUUUCCGGAAAUUCAACCGGGAUGGCCGGUGACCGGAAUUUCGUGCUGAUUGUCGUGGUGCAGUCCGUUUAUUUAUUUGAGCUUUAUUUGGUGCUAAAGUAAUUUAUGAGUGAAUUUAAGAUUUAUUCCUAAAUUGAAUCUGGAGAGGGUGGGGUGGGACCGUAAAGCCACUAGUUCUUGAGAGGGUCGGGUGGGACCGUAAAGCCACUAGUUCUUGAGAGGUUCCGAUUGAUACGAAAUCGACUAGGUCGAUUCGAUCGAUGCUUCGAUCGGUGAUGUGAUUGUUUGAAUGCCUAUUGAACUGUACUAAUAUGCAGAUGGAAUCUGAGGCCAAGGUAAGUCCUCCAACUCGUGCCGUGUUUAGGCAGCCUAUAGUGUAUUGGCUUUCUAAUCGAGUCUUAGGGGGUAGGACUCGCUGAGACGUGGUCUCAUUGGUUAUUGAAUAACCAUUUCAGGACCCUGAGGAGAAGCUAAGGAAGGGGAACCUGAAGGGGAGAAAGUAUUUUGAAGUAGAAGAUGAUCCAGAGAGGGAUCUUGAAUAUAACCCGGAUGUGGAUUGAGAUCCCAUCCCUUUUGUGAACCCUGUCUUGGUAUAGAUAGGUGUGAGACUUUUAUGCUGUAAAUAGUAUUGUAAAUAUACUAUGAGUUGUGCUGUUAAUGAAAGUGUGGUUGUGAAUUUCAAUAUGAAAAAUAUGGCCUGCUUUCCUAUCCCAUUGUUUUAUUGUCUGGGGAUUUAUAACUGCUUCCGCAUGUGCUUAAUAAAAAAAAAGGGUCGGCGAUACAUAGUUCUGGGAUAUCGCAUUAUAAAAUCGACCAAGUAGAAGGAUGUGCGUGCGUCCGAGGAUCGGGGCGUGACACUUAGUCUGUCAAAGCUUGUCUCAAGAACAAGAGCAUGGGGAAUCCCAAAAGAUUUUAGGAUAUCUUACAAUGGAUGGAUAAUUCAAUCAGAAUGAACAGAUUAUUUCAACAUAAUAAGGAGAUUAAUAUAUAAGUUUAGUACCUUGCGAAUUGAGUGAGUGGCAGUUUCAGCUAAGGCCAUCACUAGGUCAUAUGCAAAGUUAGGCUUGAGACAUACCGGUCCAUAAUCUGGAUGAGAAUCGUGUCCCCAUAGACUACAUUAAUGACAACCACAAAGUGACAAUCAAUGAGCUUUCAACGUUAAUCAGUCACAAGUACAAGAAAAGCUCAAAUCAGCAGUCUGUUCCUUUCAAGAGAUCAAACUGACAAAGCAAAUCUAGUUAAGACCUUGUAAGAAACACAAUCAAUGAUCACAUGGUUGAACCUUUGCUUUCGCAAAUUGUUAACAUAAAGUAUAAGCGUUAAUGAAAUAAAUAGGGAUACGAGAACCAGCUUAAGAGACUGAGUAUCCUCCCGAAUAUAGAGAGGUGAUUGGAUCCUUAUCCAAGCUUAUGCCGGAUCCAAUUACUCUAGGAAGUAAUUUCCAUUGGAGCUUAUUUAAGUUGUGUCCUCUUUACUCAAUAUAAUGAAUGAUGUGCCACUGAGUGUUCCAAAAUGACAAAACCUAAAUCUUUUCAUCAAACAAGGAACACUGCAUUCUGUUAUAUUAGAACUUCACAUGGUUCUAGGCUUCGGAAGGUCUAGUGUAACACUAACAAUUUUAUUUAGGCUAGAAACCCAGAAAAUGCAGAAAAGUUUGGAAAAAUAGUUCAAGUCAGCAUAUAUAAAAGUCAACUUGCUUAUAUUUAUCAGGAACAAGAACAACAGUUUUGCAGUGGCAACAUCACAAAUAAUUAUUCCUUUUGAAGUAGCUCUAGCAUGACCUUUCUUCAUGUACAAGGCAUGCUAAAUAUUACGCAUACCUCACGCAAUGUGCCUCAUCAAUAACAAAACCAGCUAGUUGUGCCUGCAAUGCAUGAUGGUCGAAUAUAAUACAUUUACAAAGGAACCUUUUAGAAAAAAAGUAAUGAUGCAUCAGAAACAAUCCCUUUCUAUGCAAGCAUUUCAAUAUCUCAAGAAAUGAUGGGUUUCCCACAAUCCUUUCAAUAGUUACAUACAAUAGCUUGCAUGAUGGUUUAACUUUUCUGAAAAGGCAGGCAAAGCAGAAGUGGAGAUAUAUAAUUUAACAAUCACAAUACUCAGCAUAAAUCACAAGCCUUCGUUUAUGCAAAACAUUCCUAUCAAAGACGCCUGAUUGCUAAUCCACACUUUGACAAUCUGCUGUACUCAAAGUAUUUGAGAAAUAUAGGUAUUUGUACAUCAUCCAAAACUUAUGUCAACUUCUCUAUUGACCAAAGAGUUCUAAUAUGUCAUUUUGGAUCUUGAAGAGUGUGGAAGAAAUUGGCAAAAGUUAAGAUUGUCUAUUGGACAUUUGAUUAGAUGAGAAGCUGCAUAAGCAAUUUAUUAAAUGCUUUUGGACAUGUACAUUGUGUACAUCCUUUGUUGUGUGCAGAAUCACAAGCAAAUUGAAACCGACCAAGCAGAGAAUAAAUUAUAUGAGAACACAACUGUGACACAGUGAUUUAAGUGGUUUGGCAAGUAUUGGCUAUGUCCAUGGUUGAACCAUACCAUGGACUCUAAAGAUUGUCUGGCCAGAAGUUGAGUGGAAAAAUAGUUGGUACCUUAUCUCUUCUUGCCCUCCCUGAUUCUUGGUAAUAACUUUCGAUUGACUUGGACAUUGUGUUGCGGUUGACAAAAUGCUGACCGCAUGCCAUAAAAUAUAAUUACUAAACCAAUAAAAAAAGUAGAAAUAUGACAAAAACAUUAUAACUAAAGGUCAAGUUAGAUUAGAGUCAUUUGCCACUUUUACUGUAAAGAAAAGAACUUUAUCCUAGUUGAACUUAAUUUCAGCACACCAAAGUUCCAUGCUUGGAAGAAAGAAUUCGGCUAGAAAAAUAGCCAAGAAUGACAAUUUAGCAGGCCACUGGACCAUGGAACUAGCAAAGUUUACUUUAAAGCACACUAAGAAACCAAUUAGUGAUACUUAAACAUUUGAAGAAAAGUGGAUUAAUCGAGUAUUUGCCAGCAUGUCAGUUCGGUUCUAAAACUAAAAAUAGACAAAGGUGCAAAGUCUAUUUCAGCUUACAACAUUCGGUUUGUCUAUUCCCAUGCCAAAAACAAUGGUAGCACAUACAACCUGGAUCUCUCAAGUGUGCCAUUUCUUUUGAACAGCUACUCUUUGACGGGCUGCUAAUCCAGCAUGAUAGUACACCAUCCUUAUACCGCACUUAUCAUUCAAGUAUUUUGCAACAUCACAUUUACUAUUUGAGAGGCAAUAUACCAUGCCAAAAAAAUUAGCAAAAUGAUUCUUUAACAACUCUCCAAGCUGCUUAGGUAUGACCUCAUACAUUAGAUUUGGUCUGUCAAAUCUGUCUCAAGAACAAGAGCAAGGGGGAUCCAGAGAGCUUUCAGGAUUUCAAUCGGUCCCAAAUGAUUAUUUCAAUAAAAUCUGGAGUUUAAUGUGCAAGUUUCGUUCCUCACAAACUUGCUGAGUGGCAGUUAAGGCCAUCAUUGGGACGUAUGGAAAUUUUUGCUUGAGACAUCCCAGUCCUCUAUAAUUUGGACAAAAAUCAUGUCCCUGUGGACUGCAAUAAUGACAACAAAGAAAGUAAUGAUCAAUAAGCCUUACCCGUUUACAAUCAUUCAAAUAUACAAGAAAAGCUUAAACCAGCAGUAUGUUCCUUUCAUGAGAUUGCGCUGGCGGCACAAAUCCAGUAAGGACCUCAUAAGAAACACAACCAACGAUCCAAUGGGCAAAGUUUUGCCUUAUAUCUCAAGUUGUUAAUAUCAAGCCAAACAUGGACACUUCCAAUCACUUCCGAAAGUAAUUUCCAUUGGAGCUCAUUUUAGUUGUGUGCAUUUUGCUUUGUUUGAUUAACGAUGUGCUGCUGACUUUUUCCCAAAAGAAGGAACUAGGUCAUUUCCAUAAUUAGUUAUUUCAAUAUUGCAUUAUGUUAUACUAGAUCGUCACAGAAGGUCGGGGUUUCAAAAGGUUCAGUGUAACACCAACAAUGUACUUAGGCUAGAAACAUAUAAAAUGCAAAAACGUUCAAAAAAGAGAGUUUGAGUGAGCAUAUAUAAAAGUUAACUUGCUUUUCUUUAUCUAGGACAAGGAGAGUUGUUUUGUAGUGGCAACAUCAUAAACACAUAUUCCUUUUGAAGUAACUCUAGCAUGAACUUUGCUUCAUGCCAAAGAGCAUACCUCAUACAAUGUGCCUCAUCAACAACAAAACCAGCUAGUUGUGCCUGCAAUGCACAACAAUCGAGUAUCAAAAAGUUAAAAAGAAACUUUCAAAAAAGUUAUAGUUUAUCAAAAAUAGUACCUUUCUACGCAAGCAUUUCAAUAUCUCGAGAAAUGAUGGGUUUCCCACAAUCCUUUCAGGAGUUACAUACAAUAGCUUGCAAGAUGGAUUUUCCUGAAAAGGCAAGCGAAAAAGUGGAGAUUAAUGACUUGAUAAUCACAACACUCAGCAAAAUAAAUAAAUAAAUAAAUAAAUAAUUAGAAGUCCGAUAGAAACCCUAUAGCAACAAUUAUAGCCCAACAUUUUAUGGAAAAAUGAUGAUUGUAUGGUAUGAUGUACUUCUCUAGGAACACUAAGAUCCUAAAAUUUAUUUUUAAGGCAAACAUCUUAGGCAUGAAUCUUCUCAUUAACUACAUGAAAAAUGUGCAUUCAUUGCAACAUAUGGAGCAUAGCAUUUAUGGCAGGAUAAAGAUCGUAUGGUAAGAUAUACUUCUCUAGGAACACAGAGAGAGAGAGAGAGAGAGAGAGAGAGAGAGAGAGAGAGAGAUCGUAUGGCAAAAUAAUGAUUGUAUGGUAUGAUAUACUUCUCUAGGAACACUAAGAUCCUAAUAUUUAUUUUUAAGGCAAACAUCUUGGGCAUUAAUCUUUUCAUUAACUACAUAAAAGAUGUGCAUUCAUUGCAACAUAUGGAGCAUAGCCAUUUUAUGGCGGGAUAAAGAUCGUAUGGUAAGAUAUACUUCUCAUAAGGAACACAUAGAGAGAGAGAGAGAGAGAGAGAGAGAGAGAGAGAGAGAGAGAUGGAGCAUAGCCAUUUUAUGGCGGGAUAAAGAUCGUAUGGUAAGAUAUACUUCUCAUAAGGAACACAUAGAGAGAGAGAGAGAGAGAGAGAGAGAGAGAGAGAGAGAGAGAGAGAGAGAGAGAGAGAGAGAGAGAGAGAGAGAGAGAGAGAGAGAGAGAGAGGGGAGGGAGAGACAGAGAGAGAGAGAGAGAGAGAGAGAGGGGAGGGAGAGAGAGCUAAACCUUACCUAAGAUCUUGGAGGACAGCCGAUGCUUGGGCAGCAGUUUGCUGAGACUUCAAGAAAGUAGAUAGUAUUCCACACUUGAGGGCUAGAGUAAUUAUUUGAUCCUGGAUGAUUGAUAGAAGGGGACAUAUAAUGACUGACACUUGGUUUAAGAGUUGCUGGCAGCUGAAACGAAGGGUAAAAACAUCAGAAGAACACUUGAAGAAAAGGUGGGAUGAGGGAAUUAUCCUUUCAUUCACCUUCAGCUGAUCAGAAAGCACUGGUUGUUACUAUUUGUAUUAUAUUUACUUCAACUAGAAACAUAUAUCAACUAUUUCAAGACUGAAUAGAAAACACUUUAGGAUAACUCAACUUAAUAAAUUCAGAAUAAUAACUUCCUUUGAGAUUCAGUAGACCAAAUAUUCGCAUGCUACCAAGAUCCAUUAUAUGAUCACCCUAGUAGAGAUGAUGACAUAGCACAUACCUGCAGGAGAUAUAGACAUCUACAAUCUGUAUUUGGUGCAAGUAAUUUGAAAACUUACUCCUCUUUGACUUAAUAACCCUUUUGAAUUGGACCUAAACUAUGACUGACAACAACACUUACAUGCAAAAACAAGAUAAAUUUUCCAAUAAGUAAUUAGAAGGUCCUAGAAGCAUAGCACAAACCUCGAAUUCUAGAAAUCACAGAAUAGAUAGAACUGUGCGAAGGCAGAACAAGAAUGUCCUGCAUAAUAUUCUUUUCCUACUUAGUCAGAUCCUGUACAUUGGAACCCAUGGUUCUGUAGUUGAAUCACUUCUUAUAGCUUAAUUUGCAUUUGGAAAACAUUUGUAUCCUUAAGUUUGAGCACAAACUUUGUAACAGUGCCAACAAAGCAAAUUCUAAGAUCAUUUUAAAGCUUAAAUUUCAAUAUACAAGUCUGUCCAUCUAGUAUUUAAACAAUGGAACCAUUAAGCAAAGUGCACAGGGCUUGUGCUCUAAACAUUGUCUCCACUUUCUUCUACUUACAAUCAUCACGUUGUGACAAUUUUAACAUUCACUAAACUGGCAACAUAAACUUUUACCACCUCCAAUGGGCAUGAGAAUGAAGCAAUCUUGCUUGGCUAUAGAAGCUUUACAUGCCUGAUGCCGCAUUGGUCAAAAUGCCUUGUUUCUGAGACAAUGUUUGCCGAUUUUAUUUGAAACUAACGAUAUUGAACAUUGAGUGACAGUGCUCUUACAGUCCUUCAACAGAAUUAAGCUUCUUUAGCACCGUAAUAGUUUCUGACAUGGAUUGUCAUGGAAAAUGAAAAAUGUGCACAAAGAUCACGAGCCUUCAUUUAUGCAACACAUUCCUAUCAAAGACGAUGGAUCGCUAAGUUCCACACUUUGAUGAUCUGCUAUAUUCUCAAAGUAUUUUGAGAAAAUUGUUACUCAUACAUCAUCCAAAACUAAAGUCAACUUCUAUAUCGACCGAAGAGGUCCAAUAUGUCAUUUUGGAUCUUGAAGAUUGUGGAAGUAAGUGGCAAAAGUUAUAACUGUCUAUUGGACAUUUCAUUGGAUGAGAGGCCCCAUAAGCAAUUUACUAAAUGCUUUUGUACAUGUACAUCAUGUAGGUCCUUUGCUGUGUGCAAAAUCACAAGCAAAAUGCAAAUGAUCAAGCAAAGAAUAAAUUAUACGAGAACAUAAUAGUGACACAGUGAUUUAAGUGGUUUGGCAUGUCAUGGCUAUGUCCAUGGUUGAAGCAUACUAUGGAUUCUAAAGAUCGUCUGGCCAGAAGUCGAGUGGAAGAAUCGCUCAAAGUACUGCUUUAGUCAAGAACAUAGCAUGUAGAUUUCCUGCCCAUUUUACUGCCAAAUAUCUUGCCUUCGUCAUCACUAUCAGUAGAGGAAUCCUCACCUCAAGAAAAGUUUGGUUUUUCUUAGGUUGUGGAGAAUCUUCUAUAACAUGGACAUCGUGUAUAACUUUGCAUUCAUCGUCAUAACGGAUAUCUUGGCCAAACAUAUUGGUCAAAAUUCCACAAGCUUCUGAUUCUGCAGCUUGCAAAUCAUCCCAAUCCUAAGAAUCUUGCAUGGUUUCGGCAAGUUCUGCUAGGAAGUUAUCGUCACAGUGCUCCACAGUGAUAAACUCUCGACCUUAGUCCAUCUUAAGAAAACCAAAAGAAGAAAGAGAUGGCUUUGCAAGUUCCAUGUCAAGCGAGAGAUCAAAUAAAUACAAUCUUCAGUACGUAAUUUGCACUUAGUUCAGUGAGACGAUAUUAGUAAUAUUGCAAGACACCAUAAGCAAUUCGCAGUGAGUUUAGAAAUAAGCCAUAUAGUUCACUAGUCAACAGGACUACUCCACCAAACCCACAAAGAAACAAGGAUGGGAUUAACACUCAAUGAACUAAAUUUAACCAGCUCCGGUCCAUUCCAAUCCAAAGUAGACUAUUCCAUAGCCAUCAUCAAAAUCAUGACUAGCUGCGAUAAAUGUCCUUAUUAGCAAUGCACAAUCAACCAAUUCACAAAUUAUCCACUCAACACAAGCAAUCAUGUCAUUCUCUAAUGACUAGAUAUUGUGCAAUUUGGUCAAUAAACAAGGAAAAACCAUCACCUAAAGUAACCUAAAACAUCAAACUAGAACGGUGCCAGACUUUUUGCCCAUCAGUAAAACUACUUCACGGAACCCGCUCCAGUCCAUUCAAACCUAGAGGAGACUAUUCCACAGCCAUCAUCGUCGUGGUGGACGAGAAAUACCUACACAACCUCUGCAAACACUAAUCAGCAAAAAAAAAAAAAAGGCGGGUGAUAAAGUAACGAUUCGAGUUACCGUAGAGGGAAACAAGACAGUUCAAGCACUUGCUGGCAGACUCCUCAUUGAAGCCGAACUUGAGAGCCAAUCUCAGCAACCCCGAGCUUUCCAUUGAGUCUCAACCUGUUCGACGCGAUUUGAUCGAUCGAUGAUGCAACAGUAGGAAUGGAAAAUCGAUCCGUAGUCUCUCUCUCUCUCUCUCUCUCUCUCUCUCACUCUGCCUUUUUUACCUGCUGGAGUGAAGAGGCUGGAGCCAUUUUUUCUUUUUCAUUCUUUCAAAAAUUCCGUUUUUGCACCUGAAUUUUGUUGGAAGCUCUAUUUUUGCCCCCUCAUAAGUUUUCUUGGUUUCAUUUGACACCCUUGGGUUGGGUCUGAGUAAAUAUUAGAAGAAGAGCAAGUAUUUCACGUGAGAGUUACAAGUAUACCGUCACGUGAUACAUCAAGCCAAGCGUUAUUUAACAAAGUGGCUAUAGGUUACAAUUAGCAGUGAGAUUGUCCAAUUAGUCCUGAAACUAUAUAUACGUAUAUCAAUUUGGUUAUAAACUUAUCAAUUCUACCAAAUAAAUCCAAAAUAUUUGCUAAAAAAAAUAUAAUAUAAUCAUUAUGGCAAAUUUUUGCUAAACAUUGCUGACAUUGUAGUGUGCCGCAUAAGACGACAAACAAUAAUUGGACUCCUGCGUCAACAAUUUCUAGCGAAAAUUGACCAGAAUGACUACAUUGAAAUUUCGCGCCAAAGUUUAGGAUUAAAUCGACAAAAUUAAAAAAAUUUAGAAUCGAAUUUGUAUAUGUACAAUAAAUUUACAACCGAUUAGGUAAUUUCCUUUAAAACUGGCAAAGCAGCUUUACUUUUUUGUGUUUUUUUUUUUUAAUUUCAAGUUAUAUAAAGUCCGAUUUGUGACAUUUAUAACAUGAAACCCAAGAAGAUCUUCUCUCCUUUCUUUGUCACGUUUUUUUUUCUAUUCUUUUAGGGCUUUUUCAUUUAUUUUUCUUUUUUGCCAAUGACGUUCUUUAUUUUCUUUAUAUGUUGAAUUUCUAAAUCCAUGGACCUUACCCCUAAUCUCAAAUUACAUAAACACCCCCCUCACGUUGAUGUUAUACUUAACUAUUGCGUAAAAAACUGACGUCUUUCUCUUUUCUAUUUUUUUUUCCUCUGCAAAGAGAAGAUUUUGCGUGUCAAACUUAAGAAGUUUUUUUAUUUUUUUCUAUUCAACUUAAUUAUAAAGUUUGGAUGGUUAUGUUAUUGACGGUCUAUGUUGAACGUUCUUAUUUUGCUUUUUUGGGGAAUGCGGGUUUUCUUAAGACUCAGCAUCAUGAGCCGGAUCAUCAUAGCAAUUGAAACUCAUUUUUACGAAGACAAGCAUGGACCUAGAAAGCCUAAUUAUCCAAUGGGGUCGGCCCAGUUGAUAUUGGCGAAAACACGUGUUGAGUUAUAAUACUAGGGGCGGUUGGGGGAUCGCUCACUUAAUCGCAGCUCCAGUGGAGGCAAAUUUGUUGUUUGUGAUGGGCGGGGGUGGUGUGGUGACAGGGAUCUAACCUCUCCUUUCAAAAAUUGAUCUUUGGAUAAGGGCGGGCGGCAGCAACCGCGCCCGCUAAUGGAGCGACCGUGAUUGAAUUGAAUGGGAUGGGAUGGGGAGGGGCUUGGCAGUGGGCACAAACCUCCAGCGAGUCUACUGCUUUUUGAGGGUUGAGGUUGGGCGAUGAUGAUGAUUUACGCGACAGAUUUGGAAGAGCGACCCGUUUCUUUCUUCUCCUGUUGCUGCUGAGUUCCUUCGUCUUGCACGUGACCCAUAUGGUAAAAACACAAAGAUAAGAAAAGCAGCCCAACAAGCGCGAUGGCGACAGAUGAUACAAGCAUCCCCAUUGACUUCACCAUCAGAAUGACAUCGAGAAUCAGAACAUACCAAAGAAUGCUGGGAGAGACAGAGAGACAGAAGAGCUUUAAAAAUGGUCGCGAUUCGAGGAUGAACAACGUGAAGGUUCAGACCUUAGAGCAUGAAAAAGAGCAAGUUAAGAGGGACGUAUUUUCCAAACGUGGGAAUUCCUAUGAGGGGCUUGCCCACAUAUGCGAAAAGAGACAACACUAAACUUGGUCACAAAGAAAGAGUAUUUUGACAAAUUGGAGAAUCGUGCCCGCUUGAAUUAAAGCGGUUUCCACAAAAUGUUUCAAUUAAAGUUGUUUACGUCCCAACCAUGCAACAUCGAAUGGUCGACACUAACUAAAUCACCACAUGAGCAAUUUUGAGCGAAAAUGGAGUAAUGAAUUGAUAAUUUUCCCUCAGAAUUAAGCUAAAAAAAUUAUCAAGUUGCCAUAAUUUUCUAACGUGUAUUUAGAUAGCCUCUCUAUGAAAAUCAUACGAUCAAGAGGGUGGAGCGGACACCUAACCCACUACUAUUAUAUAGAAAAAAGGAUGGACGCCAGUUUCCUUAUUUGCCCUUACAUUCAAUCACAAGAAUAUAAGUCAAAUGUUACUAGGUUUCUCUUUAGGGCGCGUUUGGUAAUGAAUUUGUUCCCGGGAGCCGAUUCUGACUAGGGAUGAUUAUUUUUUAUUCUGUUCCCGGGAACUGAUUUUGAGUAAAAAAACGUGUUUGGUAACUGUCCAAAUUUUUUAAUUCUGGCAUAGAAUUGCGUUUGAUACCGUGCUAAUUGAUUAUGUUCCAAAUUAAUUUCUUUUGAUUUUUAAAUAAUUUUUUACUUUUUUUCUUUUCUUUUUUCCUUUUUUUUUCUUUUAUUUUUUUCCCUUUUUUCCUAUUCUUCUUCUUCUUCAUGUGGCCGGUCACCGGACUGGCCCUCGUCGGCCGAGCCUCGCUGGCAGCUAGGCAAGGCUCACCUAGCCUUGCCAGUGGCCAAGCCGGCCUCGCCCAACCUGGCCACCGGCGGGGUUGGGCGAGGCUCGCCCAGCUGCCGGCGAGGCUGGGCUUGCCUCUAGCGAGCUCGUUGGACCUCGCCUUGUCCUGGUGAGCCUCCAGCAAGCUUGCCGGACUGGCGAUUGGCGGCGGAGGGCAGCGGCGGGCGACGAAAACAGUGGCGGGCGGUGGCGAACGGCAAUCGCGAGAUGACGGAAGGGAAGAAUGAGAGUUUUAUUGUUUUGAUUCUUUUUUUGAUUCUCGGACGAAGAAUCAUAUUUUUUUUUUCUCAAUUCUCUUCCCAAUCUGUUUUCGGGAACAAAUUUGUUCCCGAGAAUUAAAAUUUUACCAAACAUGAUUCUCGUCCCAAACUGAUUCUGGGAACAAAAAAUCAGAAUCAGGCACUGUUUGGCACGUUGCCAAACAGGCCCUUAGUAACCAACGGUGGGGUUAUGCUUUUCCCCUUAAAAAAGUUUAGUGUGAAUUAUUUUAUUAUUCUAAAAAUGCAAUGUGUUUCGUAUUAAUAAAAAAAUUUAUAUUGUAUAUAUCGAAGCUCAUAUAUCUUCGGAUUAUAAUAUAUAUGUAUAUCGAGAGGCGUAAACUAAAAGCUUAUGCUAAGGCUUCAUCAGUUCCAUGGCAAGUAAUUCCUCGAAUGGAUGCUCAUAUUAAGGAAUCUCGUCCUCCUUUUCAAUUGCCUAAAUUGUAAGAGAUUUAAAUCUUUUGAAAAGGAAUACUUCUCAUUGGCAGCGGCAACUACGAUAAACGACUGGCGACUAGGGACCAAUGGGGGCAGCAACUUGCGGCCAAUGAUAGUGGCGGCAAAGUAUAGUGGUUACUGGUUUUAGGAUCUGGAAUUGGAAUGUCCAUAUAAGCUAUUGCCGAAUCAUUCCCCGCAUGCUUUUCAAGGAAAAUCUUAUUCCUUGUGGAACCCAAUUUCACAUUUCGAUUUCACUCCAAACAUGAAAAUUACGGGACCCGAAAAUCUUGUUUAGAAGCUUUUCUGGGUAGCUGGCUCUCCAGCCUUUUCCAAUGGAAAGAACGCACUUCUGGUUCGCGACCGACCCAACGAACGGUAGGACGACAGAGCUAAUUAAGUCACGACAAAGUCCAAAGACCCCCUGAUUGCGGGGGAAGGUGAGGAAGGUCCCACGUUUGAACAUUCAAAUAUCAUUUAUCUGUUGCUGUGCAUCAGCAAAAGAAGAUAUUGGCAAAGUAAUACGGUUGGUUAGUUACAUUUUUACCUUUAAUAUAUUUCAAUGGAACGAUUUACAAAAUUUUGGAAAAAUAACAUUUCCAACACUACUUUACCGUUGGCAAAAACUAAAGAACUACUCUUUUUUUUUUUUUUUCAAACAGAACCUAUUAUAUUUAUGGACCAAACUGAUUACAAGCAGCAGCUAUCGCAUCAGCGUAAAUAAGAUCUAAAAGAGGGGGAGGGGGAAAACCAGCCCAGUUACUUCGCUUGGAAUUGACCCUAUGGGCCUUCGCAGCCCAAUUAGCAGCAACAUUUGCCUCACGACUACAGAAUGCUAGGGAAAUAUUGGGAAAAAACAAAAGCAGGAAGGCAGCUUUGAAGAAGAGGCUUCGUUCUUGCCAUGGCGGCGAGCGUUGACCCUUCAGUGUCUCAAUGAGGGUUUGGCAAUCAGAUUCAAGAGUCAGCGCAGCAUGAGAGAGGUCUUGAUCAAUCAAAUGAUGGAGAGCAAGCAAGCAAGCGUGGAUCUCCGCCUGCAGAGCCGAGAAGGCAGCAAAGCUAUCUGAGAAGCCACCAGUAAGUUGUCCUUGCGAAUCACGACACACACAAGCCAUAGUCCCUUCCCUGCUCCCCAGUUGAUAAGAUCCAUCGAUAUUGACCUUUAAAACCCCCGGAUCUGGGGGUCUCCAUAUAGUUUCGUGAUGUUGAAAAAAAGCAGCUUUGCAGGUGGAAGAACGAGCAACAGUAGAAUCCACACGAGAUUGAAGCACUGCUUCUUCAGCUACACGAUGCGGAUCAGGAUGUUUUCGUCCAAAAAUAAAUGCAUUUCGAGCCUUCCAUAUGUGCCAAGGGACUGUGGCGAUCACUGGAAGACUAGGUAAGGGUUUCUGAUCACCGGCAUGCUCUAUGAUCCAGGCUGUGAUAUUCCUUAUAUGCUGAGUUUGAAUGGGGAGGUUGAUCUGAAGAUUACUCCAAACACGCCAAACCCAGGGACAGAAUAAGAACAAGUGUUCCAAGGUUUCCGGGGUGUCUUGAUCACAAAUAAGGCAUUUUGGAUUGUCAAUGAUAUGCCUAUGAUGCAGAUUAACUCUUGGUGCUAAACUAUUUUGACAUAAUAACCACCAGAAGUGGCCUACCUUAAGAACGGUGUGCAUUUUCCACAAUUUGUGCCAUAAUAAAGAUGGAUGUUGAUGUGAAGAUGAAGGCGCGCUAUUGAGUUUAAGCUCUGCUGAAUGGUUGAUAUUGUGAUAUGUUGAUUUAACUGGGUAAUCCCCAUUAAAAAUAACAGUCCAAAUAAGUUUAUUCAUGGAAAAUCUGGGUCGUAUCGGAAUAGNNNNNNNNNNNNNNNNNNNNNNNNNNNNNNNNNNNNNNNNNNNNNNNNNNNNNNNNNNNNNNNNNNNNNNNNNNNNNNNNNNNNNNNNNNNNNNNNNNNNNNNNNNNNNNNNNNNNNNNNNNNNNNNNNNNNNNNNNNNNNNNNNNNNNNNNNNNNNNNNNNNNNNNNNNNNNNNNNNNNNNNNNNNNNNGCAAACAUAGGGAAGAAUGGCAUCACGUCACUCAAAAGGCUCUGCAGCCCCAUGACGGGCGAGAGCCUUUUUCUGCCUCAUCAAACCGUGAGGUUGGAAAAUAUAAUCCUUUAAAAACUUUACCCCACAAGGAGGAUGGCUAAAGAAGUAGUCGCCACGCUUGCUUACCCAGCAUGGCUAAAUUAAAAUUGAGGAGAUCCCGAAACUCUAAACCACCAGCUACCUUUCUCUGUUUUAGUACCUCCCAAUUUCGCCAAUGUAUGCAUGUUCGUUGUCUAUCAUUCUGCCACCAAAAUUUCGCAAUUCUUUGUUCAAUAGAGGUACAUAGAGAAAUGGGUAAUCGAAAUAUGGACAUGGCAUACUGUGGUAUGGAUUGUACUACAGCCUUCAACAUAAUCUCUUUCCCCGCCUUUGAGAAAAGGUUUUCCUUCCAACCUUCCAAUCUGGUAUUCACUCGAGCUAGUAUCCAAGAGAACAUAUCCCUUUUCGACCUACCCCAAUCAGAUGGUAUACCAAGAUAUUUCCCACAACUUUGCAAUAUAGGAACUCUAAUAGCAUUAGCCAUAUUUUCCUGUAGAGAAGUAGGGCAAGAUUUACUAAAAAAUAUACCAGAUUUGUUGCGGUUCACCUCUUGGCCCGUGGCAAAGCAAUACUAAUUCAGCACAUUUGAUAAAUUUUGACAUUCCCGAACUGAUCCUUCUACAAAGAAAAUUGCAUCGUCUGCGAAAAGAAGGUGUGAAAGAGUUGGGCACCAUCUGUUGAGUUUAAUACCUUUGAGUGUCUCCAUAUCGAGUGCAUUAUGAAUAAGAGAUGAUAAUAGAUUGGAUAAAAGGAUAAAAAGGUAUGGGGAGAGAGGAUCUCCUUGGCGAAGGCCCCUGGUAGGAUGAAAGGGCCUAAGCUGAUCGCCAUUCAUGUUGAUACAUAAAGAUGUAGUGGUGAUACAUUGCAUGACCAGAGUACUCCAUAAUGGAUGAAAGCCUAACUUAAGUAGAUAAGCAUGUAAAAAGUCCCAUUCCACUCUAUCGUAGGCCUUCCGCAUAUCCAACUUGACAACAGCAUGAAAUUUGCGCAUCCUCCUUUUAGAUCUAAGUUGAUGUAAAACCUCCUGUACUAGCAAGAUAUUAUCUUGUAUCUGGCGCCCACCCACAAAAGCAGAUUGUUCCUCAGAAAUUAGAGAUGGUAGCAGAGGUUUCAGUCUAUUUGCAAGCACUUUAGAGAUAACCUUAUAGGCAUAAUUGCAUAAACUAAUAGGGCGAAAUUGAUCAAGACUCUCAGGUUGAGGGAGUUUUGGGAUCAGAGUAAUAACUGUUUUAUUUAAGGCUAAAGGGAAACAGCCUGAGAGAAAGAAAUGCUGAACCUCUUUGAAGAAAUCAUCCUUUAUAAUAUCCCAAUGAGUCCUAUAAAAAAGACCAGUCAGCCCAUCAGGACCAGGAGCUUUGGUUGAAACGUAGCUAGUCUCAAUUCUUCCAAGGUCAACAAUGACAUUAGAGCAUUAUUCAUGGCUGGCGUCACCACUGUAGGACACUGAUCUAAAAUAGGUUCAAAGUUGCGAGCUCCGACUGUGGUAUAUAAUGAUGAGAAGAAAGAAGUUGUCAUCUCCUAAAGCCGACUAGGAUCCCUGACCCAAUCCCCCGUUUCAUCCCUGAGCAUCGUAAUCUUAUUCCUUUGUCGCCUCUGGACUACUUUAUUAAGGCCAAAAUGUCUUGAUUGUGAUGGACAUUUCAUAAGCAAAAGUUCUCUUUUAUGAGAUCGGCCCUACAUUCAACAUGGACUGUUGGAUAAAAAGGGAAAAAACACGAUCCAUCAAUCUAUUUGGCAAAAUCGAUUUUCUGUCAUCACUUCCGAAUAUUAAAGGAAAGUUGCAGGCGCAAACUUGAUCAAAUUAUAAUUUGAUUGAAAAUAGUGACGAUGAGUAAGGAAAAUUACUAAAGCAUAGGUCUCAAAACUUUGCCAAGUGCAAAGUAGAGGAGAGUUACGAUCAAUCUACAUAUUUUAGUAAAAAUACACAAAAAGAAAUUUACUUUUAACCGAAUAAAUAUUAUCUUUGUGGAAUUUCACCAAACAUAGGUUUCAAAGAAUUUAUGACCUCCAAAGAAAAAGUACACCCUCCAAACUCAAAAGAAAACAUAUGAAAGGAUUUUUUACAGGAAAAAUUACUAUUAGUGAGGACAAUUACGUCAUCAAAGGAAAGUUGUGAUUUAUCCAGUAAUUUACUAACCAUAGAAAAAACAAUUUACCCAAAACUUGGCAGAUUAUUAUAUUUUGAGGAAUAUUACAAAUCAUUUGACCUCCAUAACUUAUGAUGGCAACCUCAAAAGUAACAGAUUUCUCAAGAAACGAUGCCCUAAAACACAAGACGCUUCCAAUUACUCUAGGAAGUAAUUUCCAUUGGAGCUUAUUUAAGUGUUUGCUCGUUACUCAAUACAAUGAACAAUGUGCGACUAAGUGUUCCCAAACGACGGAACCUAAAUCUUUUCAUCAUACAAGGAGCAAUGCAUUAUGUUCUAUUAGAACUUCGCAAGGUUCUGAGCUUCAGAAGGUCUAGUGUAAUAUUGACAAUUUAAUUAGGCUAGAAACACAGAAAAUGCAGAAUAGUUUGGAAAGUUAACUUGCUUAUAUUUAUCAGGAAAAAGGACAACAGUUUUGCAAUGUCAACAUCACAAAUAAUUAUUCCUUUGAGGUAACUCUAGCAUGAUCUUUCUUCAUACAAAAGGCAUGUCAAAGAUUACGCACACCUCACACAAUGUGCCCCAUCAACAACAAAACCAGUUAGUUGUGCCGGCAAUGCAUGAUAGUCGAAUAUAAGAAAUAUACGCCGAACCGUCUAGAAAAAGUUAUGGUGCAUCAGACACAAUACCUUUCUAUGUAAGCAUUUCAAUAUCUCUAGAAAUGAUGGGUUUCCCACAUUCCUUUUGGGAGUUACAUACAAUAGCUUGCACGAUGGUUUAUCUUUUCUGAAAAGGUAAGCAAAGAAAAAGUGGAGAUUAAUAAUUUGACAAUCACAACACUAAGCAUAAAAAAUCUAGAAGUCCAAUAGAGCUAAACCUUGCCUUAGUUCUUGGAGAAUAGCUGCCGCUUGGGCAGUAGUUUGCUGAGAGUUCAAGAAAGUAGAUGGUAUUCCAUACUUGAGGAUUAGAGUAAUUAUUGGAUCUAGAAUGAGAGAUAGCAAGGGAGAUAUAAUGAUUGUGACACCUAUUUAAAGAGUUGCUGGUAGAUGAAACCAAGGAUAAAAACAUCAAAAGAGCGCAUGAAGAAAGGAAGGGACAAGGGAACUAUUAUUUCUUUCACCUUCAGCUGAUUAGGAAUGACCAGUUGUCACUACUUGUCUUACAAUUAAUUACUUUCAGCUAGAAACAUGUCACGCCCCGAUCCUCGAGACGCGCCCAUCCUUCUAAUGGUCGAUUUUAAAGUGCGAUAUCCCAGGACUAAGUAUCACCAACCCUUUCGUUUAUUAAGCACAUGCGGAAGCAGUUAUAAAUCCCCAGACAAUAAAAUAAUGGGAUAGAAAAGCAAGCCAUAUUUUUAAUAUUGAAAUUCACAACCACACUUUUAUUAACAACACAACUCAUAGCAUAUUUACAAUACUAUUCCCAACAUACUUGUCUCACACCGAUCUACACUAAGACAGGGUUUACAAAAGGGAUGGGAUAUCAAUCCACAUCCGGGUUAUACUCAAGAUCCCUCUCUAGAUCAUCUUCUUCUUCAAAAGUCUUUCUCCCCUUUAGGUUCCUCCUCCUCAGCUUCUCCUCAGGGUCCUGAAAUGGUUAUUCAAUAACCACUGAAACCACGUCUUAGCGAGUUCUACCCCCUAAGACUCGAUUAGUAAACCAAUACACUACUCGGUUGCCUAAGCACAACACGAGUCAGAUGACUUACCUUGGCCUCAGAUUCCAUCUGCACAUUAGUACAGUUCAAUAGGUACUCAAACAAUCACAUCACCAAUCGAAGUAUCGAUCAAAUCAACUUAGUCGAUUUCAUGCCAGUCGGACCAUUUCUAGGUCAUUCAUCCCACACCAAGCAAUUCCUUAGAUUUAGUGGCUUUACGGUCCCAUCCGACCCUUUCCAAAUCUAGUGGCUUUAUGGUCCCACCCGACCCUUUCAAGAUCUAGUGGCUUUACGGUCCCAUCCGACCCUUUCCAAAUCUAGUGGCUUUAUGGUCCCACCCGACCCUUUCAAGAUCUAGUGGCUUUACGGUCCCACCCGACCCUUUCAAGAUCUAAUCUAGGAAUGAAUCUUAAAAUCACUCAUAAAUUACUUUAGCACUGAAUAAAGCUCAAAUAAAUAAAUGGACUACACCACGACGAUCAGCACAAAAUUCCAGUCAUCGGCCAUCCCGGUUGAAUUUUCGGAAAAAUAAAUAAUUAAAUAAUUUAUUUCGAAAAUUAAAUAAAUAAUUAUUUAAAAAAAUCCAAUUUAGGCCCAUAAUGUCUGAUUGGAAGCCGAGACGAGCCUGGAAAAUUACCGAGACUUGUUCAAUAAUUAACAUUGCAUGCCUACUUGCUAAUGUCUAUUUCUAACCACCUAACAUGUAUCAUUAAGUCUCUAAUUUAAUUUAUCUAAAUUAAUAUAACCACCUAAUUGCAUUUAAUUAAAUCUAACCAACCUUAAGUAUAAUUAGGAAACUAAGAAAGCAUUAGUGAGUAAAAAUUACUUGGUAAAAGCAGAGAUCGGGACACCGCGAUGAUGACGCUACGACGGCCGAAAUCGAGCUUUCGACAACACCGGCGGGCUUGGCCCAACAAAUCUCACCCAACUGAGAUUUGUUCUUGCUUUUGGGCCAGACCCAAGUUGGAUUGGGCUUGCUACGAAGAUGGGCUUCAAGCUAUGGGUUGGGCUUGAAGACUACGGGAGAUGGGCCUCAAUAAAAUUCUGCUGAUGGGCUGCUGCUGGUGAAAUUCGACUGGGCUGGCUUGCGACCCAAAUGGGCUGAACAAACUGCAACUGGAAGCUGGCUGAUCUGUGGGCUGCUUGAUCGAGCGUGGACUGACGCUAGCAGGAGGAAGGAGCAAUGUCGGCGGUUGCUUCGGCUUCGCUGGGAUCUUCAAAUUGCUGAAGUCCACGGACGUGAGGCUUCUCGGUUGGGAUUGGGAUUUGGUGGAGUGGGUUGUUGACCGAAGGGGACGUGUGGAUGAGCAAAGAUGGAGCAGGGAAGCAGCUGGCGUGGAUGCAUGGGACAGAGAGAGAUGAGGCAGCGUUCAUGGCCACCAAACUCGGUGGAGUCGUGGGCUUCAAGCGGUCAACCAAGAGCUUCAAUUGAAGCUGUUGUUGACCGAACCAGGCGUACACACGGCCAAGUGGUAGCAAGCUCGGCAGAAUCAGUUUCGGUGAAAACAGAGACAAACGAAAGUGGGCUUUGCUGGCAGGGAGAAUUCGGUGGAUUGUGGCUUCGCAUGGAGUAGCUUCGGUAAGUCUUCAACGCUUCUGGAGAAGACACGAAGCAGUGGAGCUGCAUGCGGUCAACAAUCUUUGCUGAGAUUGACCAAAACCUCAGUGGAUUGGUCUUCGGUGCAGCUGGCGGACGAAGGAAAAUUUUUGAAGGAAGCAGCUUGGUCUUCUGCAGUUGCUGUUGGCGAUGUCGCACGAAGUGGGGAGGGAGAGAGAUAGCUGUCCGGUUGAGGGUGAGAGGAAAAGGAAUGGAUAUAGAUGAGUGAUGGGGCCCUUUAGACUUGAUCUUUCCACACAAAUAUCAUUUGUUUUUAUCCCUCCAUAUGGCUGGCACCCACCAACAAAUUUUCAGCCCAAUUUACCCCUUCUAGAGAGUUGAGUUGGUCCAAAAGUCACCACUUGUGGGGCAUGCAAAUUUCUUAGCGCAAGGCUCCAAUUGCUUAUCAAAUCUCCCUCAAUCGGCUUUCAUAAAAUCAAUCAACGCUUCAAUGCCUCAAUUGCUAUUUUUCCUCAUCCAAUAACCCAUCUUGCAUCUCGAUUUUGCGAUCGAAACCAUCUUCAGCAUUGUCGGCACAAAAAUGACCCAACGACAACUUUUUCCCAGAAAGUGUCGGGUGUCAGAAAAAUCUUCUGAGACUGAGUCGAUACUCCUAGAAUUUAUUAUGACAUGGCCAAAACUUCAAUUUCUGAAAUCGGACUCGAAUUGGCAGUUAAUUUUCAUUCGACGCGUUUUUAGCGUGACCUAGACUGUCGGGUAGUUUUUCAUAACUUUUUAAGGCAAAUAACACAUGGUUGAUUUUCUUCGAACCACUAUGAACCCAUUCGACUUAAUGGCGACUCUCGAUUGUCGUGAAAAUCUCGAGGUUUCAAAUACGGACAUAGGGUACCAAAAUGACAGUUAAAUCAGAUUUGUGUCGAUCGACGAGAAUUUUCCAAUUUAGUGGAGUCACCCACGAUCGGCCACAUAUCUCAGUCGACCAAACCUAUCUAUGGUCUUAAAUCGAUUUUUAACUGUGCUGCAAUGGCCUCUAAAGAUGAGCACGGUCGAGAAGCUGAUUCCUGAUCGAAUUCUCAAGUUUAUUACCCUAAAAUUUCUUAAUUACUUACCUAGACAAUCUAGUUAUCUCAAGAGUGAUCGGCUCUGAAAAUAGCCCAAUAAACACGUCAACGAAAUGCCCGAUUAUUUUAGUAGAAAACAGGUUGAGAAAUUCAAGAUGUCACGAAACAUAUAUCAACUACUUUAAGACUGAACAUAAAACACUUCUAAAAAAUCCAGUAUAAUAUCUUCCUCCUUCAUUCAUUACAUCAAAUAUUUUUCUUGCUACCAUUAUAUAUUGUAUAUUGAAGGAAAUUAAUUCCAAACCAAUUAUGGGAAAAAAAGAAGUCAUAGAUCAUUACCCUAUGUGAGAUAAUGGCAUAGCCAACAACUACAAGGAAAUAUAGAAGUCUAGAACCCAUAUUUGGUGGAAGUACUUUGAAAAAUUAUUCCUCUUCGACUCAGUAACCCAUUUGAAUUGGACCUGAAUUAUGACUAACAAUAGCACUUACAUGCAUAAACAAUUUUCCGGUAAGUGAUUAGAAGGUCCUAGAAGCAUAGUACAAACUUUAAAUUCUAGAAAUUAUAACAGAUAGAGAUGUGCGAAGGCGGAAUGAGAAUGUACCGUAUUUCCUUCUUGUCUAAUUUUGUCCAAUGCCAUAAAUUGGAAUCCAUGGUUAUGUACUAGAAUCACUUCCUAUUGCUUAAUUUUCAUUUGAAAAACAUUUACUACCUUUUAUGUUCACAACCUUCUCAACGGUGCUUAAAAAAACAUAUUAGAAGAUCGUCAAAGCUUAAAUUUUGACAUACAGGUCAACCCUUUUACAUUUAGUUGGUGGAACCAUUGAGCAAAGUGCACAGGGCUUGUGAUCUUAACAUUGUCUCCACUCUCUCCUACAUACAAUCAUUACAUAGUUGAGACAACGUUAACAUCCACUAACCUGGUAACAUAAGCUUUUACCACCUCCAGUGGGCAUGAGAACAAAGCAAUCUUGCUUAGCUACAGAAUCUUUACAAGCCCGAUGCUGCAUUGGUCGAAAUGCCUCGUUUCCGAAUAUGACAACAUUUGCCAAUUCUACGUCAUCAAAGGCUCGCAAUUCCUCAUAACUCAAAGUCCCUUGUUGGAUGUUGAAAUCUGAAAGCAAUGUGUUUUAUUUGAAAUUGACUAUUGAACCAUGAGUGACAGUGAUUUUAUAGUCCUUCAACAAAGAUAAGCCUCUUCAGCACCGUAAUAGUUUUUGACAUGGAUUGUCAUAGAAAAUGAAAAAUGUGCACAAAGAAAUCACAAGCCUUUAUUUAUGCAAAACAUUCCAAUCAAUGACGCUGGAUUGUUAAGUUCCACACUUUGAUGAUCUACUAUACUCUCAAGGUAUUUGAGAAGUAUAGGUAUUUUGUAAAUCAUCCAAAACUAAAAUUAACUUCUUUAUUGACCAAAUAGUUCUCAUAUGUCAUUUUGGAUCUUGAAGAUUGUGCAAUAAUUGGCAAAAUUUAGGAGUGUAUUGGAUAUUUAAUUGGACGAGAGGCCUCAUUCAUAAGAAUUUUUUUUUUGGUCGAAUCCUCAUAAGAAAUUUACUGAAUGCUUUUGUACAUGUACAUUGUGUAGGUCCUUUGCUGUGUGCAGAAUCAAAGCAAAUUGGAAACAAUCAAGCAGGGAACAAGUUAUAAGAGAAAAGGACAGUGACACAAUGAUUUAAGUGGUUUAGCAGUAUUGUCUAUGUGCAUGGGAGAAGCAUACCAUGGAUUCUAAAGCCCCUCUGGCCAAAAUUUGAGUGGAUGAAUUGGUUAGAUUACUACUUUAGUCAGGACUAUAGCAUGUGGAUUUCCUACCCGUUUUACUACCCAACACAUCUUCUUCGCUUUACUGUCAGUAGAGGAAUCCACCCCAUGGAAAUUUGAUUUUUCACAGUUUGUGGAGAAUCUUCUAUAAUAUUGACAUUGUGCAUAACAUUGCAUUCACCAUCGGAUAUCUUGGCCAAACGUAUCAGUCAAAACGCCACAAGCUUCUGAUUCUGCAGCUUGCACAUCAUCCCAAUCCUCAAUGUCUAGCAUAGUUUGGGCAAGUUUUGCUAGAAAAUGAUCACCACAGUGCUUCAUAGUGAUAAACUCUCGACCUCCGUCAACUUAAGGAAACCAGAAGAAGAAAGAGGUGAUUUUGCAAGUUCCAUGGCAAACAAGAGAUCAAAUAAACAAAAUCUACAAUACGUAAUUUGCAAUUAGUUCAGUGAGAUGCCAUAUUCGUAGUGAGUUCAGAAAUAAGUUAGAGAUUUCGCUAGUCAAUAAGACUACUCUGCAAAACCCACAGAUAAAUGAGGAUGGGAUUAACGCUCAAUGAACUAGAUUUAACCAUCUCCUCCAGUCCAUUCAAAUCUAAAGGGUAGACCAUUCCAUAGCCAUCGUCGAAAUGACGACUAACCGCAAUAAAUCUCCUUAUCCAGGAAUGCACAAUCAAUCGAUUCACGAAUUAUCCACACAACACAAGCAAUUACAUCAUUCCCUAAUCACCAUAUACCAACGAUUUAGCUAAUAACCAAGAAAAACCACCAUUCGGAGCAACCUCAACACAUCAAACUGGAACCACGCCACACAUUUCACUCAUCAACAAGAUUACUUCACCAAACCUGCUUCGAUCUAUUCAAACCUAGAGCAGACUAUUCCACGACAAUCCUCAUCAUAUUGGACAAUGAAAUACCUAUAUGGGUGACAAAGUAACGAUUGGAGUUACCAUAGAGUAGAUGUGUCAAAAUGGGUCAUUGACCCAUUUAUGGACCCAUUUAUGGUUAAAUGGGUCGUUAAUGGGUCAAGCUUUAGUUCCUAAAGCACCCAUAAUGGGUUUUAAUGGGUCAAGACUGAGAUAUAUUGAUCUUAAAUGGGUCAAAGAGCUACCCAUUUAAGACCCAUUAAAAAUAAACUCAUUUAUUUUCACUCAAAACCUCACCAUCUCUCUCUUCUCUCUUUAACUUUACAACUUUUUUUAUAUAAAAACCGAAAUUAUAAUUAUUUUUUCUUUUAAUUUUCUUUCCUUUUUUUUCUUUUUUCUUUGUUUUUUCUUUCUUCUUCCUCCGAUCGUCAACACGGCGAUGGCCGGUGAUCGGCCAAGCGAGCCUCGAGCUCGCCGACGUCGGGCGAGCUCUAGCUCGCCGGAUCUAGCAAGGCGGAGGCCUCACCGAUGCCUAGUGAGGCUCGAGCCUCGCCGAUUUGGCGAGACUUGAACUCGUUGGUGUCGGGCAAGGCUCGAGCCUCGUCGGCAUCAGGCGAGGCUCAAGCCUCGAGCUCGCCUAACGCCAGCGAGGCGGAGGCCUCGCCAAUGUUCGACGAGGCUUGAGCCUCGCUAGAUUCGGCUAGGGGCGAGCCUUGAGCUCGCUCGGUGCUGGCGAGGCUCGAGCCCCCGCCAGAUCUGGUGAGGGGCGAGCUCGAGCUCGCCCGACACUGGCGAGCCUCGAGCUCGCCGGAUCUAGCGAGGCUCAAGCCUCCCCGAUCUGGUGAGCCGCGAGCUUGAGGCUCGCCUAUGGCCAGUCGUCGGCCGUCGUCGUGGCCAACGGCCGGCCAAAGAAGAAGAACAACAAAAAAGAAAAAAGAAAAUUAAAUUUAAAUUUAAAAAUUUAAAAAUUUAAAAAUUAAUGUUUUAAAAUAAAAAUAAUUAAAAUUUGAUGUUUUAAAAUAAUUAUUUUAAAAAUUAUAAAAAUUGUCCAUUAAAUUUGUGCUGUAUAAAACUAUUUUAGCGAUACCAUUUUAUAUAUACAUAUAUAUAAGAAAUAAUUUUUUUUGAAAAAUUAUAAAAAAUUGAAAAAUUAUUGAUUGGAUUUGUAUUACUUGGAAGUUUUUUAGUAAUAUAAUCUUAAAAAAAAACAUAAGAAUAAGUUUUCCUAAAUUUUGUUAAAUAUGAAGAUAUUUUAUUAAUAUGGGUCGAGUCGGGUAUAGGUCGAAAAAUUUAUAUUAGACAUAAAUGGGUCAUAAAUGAGUUAAUGGGUCAAUUUAAGUCAACCCAUUAAUGACCUGAUCCAAACCCGACCCGACCUACCCGUUUGACACCUCUACCGUAGAGAGCGAAAUGAGACGGUCCAAGCACUUGCUGGUGGACUGCUCGUCGAAGCAGAACUCGAGAGCCAAGCUCAGCAACCAAGCUUUCUCCACCUCCUCCAAGCCUCGAUCCUCCAUCGAGUCUCAACCAGUUCGACGCCAUUCGAUUAAUCGAUCGAUCGAUGAUGCACCAGCCGAAAUCAAAUCGAAUUGAUUGCUAGUCUGUCUGGAGAGCGCACGCUCGAAGUACUCUUUCGAAAAGCAUUGCCAACGAUGGUGAGGAUUGAUGUUGUUUUCCGCUUUCUAUUUUUAUGCGCUGGAGAAGGGGAGAGAUUGGAACCAUAUUUUUUCAAUUUUUUUUUUAAAUUCUGUUUCGCACCUGAAAUUUGUUUAAACUCUAUUUUUGCCCCCACCAUAAGUUUUCCUGGUUUCAUUUGACACCCUUGGGUCUAUAAAUUUUUUUUUUUUUUUCUGGAUAAAAGAAGUCGUGCACUUUUCUCUAAGCGUGUAGUGUCGAUCUUUCCGAGUCAAUGCAUAAGUCCAAUUCAUUUUGGGGCGUCCUUCCAAUAGCGCUUGUCGCACCAAUUCUUCUAAGGAUGUGCGCUUAUAAUCUUCUCAAGACGAGGAAAAAGAGCGGAAGCAAUACCACAUGCAAAAAAAUAAGCGUCAACGGGUCAUCGACAUCUAUGUUUGUCUCUCCAACACUAACAAAAGGGGGGAAGUGAUCCCUUUAACGUAUUCUUGAGCUUUCGAGACGACAAAAAUAUCAUAGAUGAAGGAACUGUGCCAAUAUUUGCACUUACGGAUGAUGAUAGCCUCCCUACUAGUGAAGGGUUGGGUUUAUGGCAUCUCGAUGCAAUCACAUGGACUAAUGUUUUCCACGAAAUAAACGGAACCUAAAGUUCCAUCCAUGUUACCUAGCCAAAAGAUGUUUCGGCCAAAUAAGAUAUAUUAGUCGUCCUUGGCCUAGAUCGAUAUAAAAUGAAAAUGCAACAAAACUUCAACAUGGUCGGCCAACAAAAAAAAGUAAAUUCUAUUGAUGAUCCUUUUGAUUCCAUCAUAACUCUUUCCGUAAUUAUCAUUGAAAGGUUAAUGGUUGUCGAUCAAUAAAACAUUUCCAACAUCAUAACUCUUCCUGUAAUUAUCGUUGAAAGGUUAAUGGUUGUCGAUUAAUAAAACAUUUCCAACAUGCAAAUCUUUUAAUAAUGUAUGGUAAAUCGCAUUGUAAUGAAUUUUAACUGUUUCUACAAAAAUUUUGUAAAUUCUUCUACGUUUCGGAGAUAAUGGAGGAAUCUAGAUAUUUUUGUUUUGGUCGAAGUAAACAUCUUUCAUUAUUUCAAGUAGCUCCAUGAUUACAAACUAAGUGGGCCUCUAAACAAAUCAGGCCUGACAAUAUUUUUGGGGAUAAGAAACCUAGUUGGUGGGAAGGGAUUUUCGCCAAUGGGCUUAGAGAUCCAAUCAGCUACCUGGCUCGCUUCUCUCCUACAGUAGGCUAAUCACAUGCUCUUGUAUUGGGCCAGCAGGUUUUUGCCUUUAGAGAUAAGAGACUGGAUGCUCCACGUUGGUUGUUCUUGAUCUGAAAGUGCAAUUAUCGUUGACCAACUCUUCAACUCUAGAGAGUACUUGAGUUCAAACGUAAGACAAAAGAAGCGUAGGGCUUCCAUGCACGCUAGGGCUUCCACUUGCUCCGCCGAGUUCGCCCAUACUUCCUUCGUAAAUCCAGCCACGAUGUCCCUAGACUCAUCUCUAUAAACGACGCCGAUGAUUCCUAUUCUCUCUUCCUUCGCACACGAGCCAUCCACAUUGCUCUUUAGAGUGCCUUUCUCGGGUGGAAUCCAUUUUGCAGCCAAAGGCUAAAGUACGCGCAUCCUUAUGAUACAAUUAAUUGCAAAUAAUAGGAAAAAAAGCUAGGACUUUCAUAAAUGGCUAUCUAUAUAAAGCAAUUGGUAGAUGCAGAACACAAAUACAAAAAAGAUCAAUUAAAACACUCAAUUCCAGUGGAAUACAUGAAUCAUUAAGUGCCUAGUUUUGAGGCACCUACAAGGCAUCUGGACAAAACAGUGAUUGACUUCCGAGGAACAAUGCCUAACAUGGACCUGAGAGCACCCACAGCAUUGGAUUGUAUGAAUCAUGGUGAAUGACAUGAUUGUUCGAGUGCAAUCAUUAUUAGAGCACCACUAAGUGUAGUUUUUUUUCAAAUUUAUUUGAAGAUAUACUUGUGUUCGGUUUGGUUUAACUGAAUGAAUGUUUUUCCUUAUUAAUUUCCCUCAAAUAAUUUCUCAUUAUUUUCAUUAUUUGAGAAAAAAAUUACAAUUAUUUUGAAUUUAAUUCUGCUUAAUUAAUUUUUAAAAAUGUCUAGGCCCAUGCCCACCAUGCUUAGGUUGUGUCAGCCCAAGCUUGUCGUGGUGCUCCGUCCUAGUCACACUUCGCCAAGUGAGAAGCCUCGAAAACUACAUUGGUUGUAGUUAAGCUUGGAAAUCACAUCGGUUGUGAUUAAGCCCAAAAUAAAACCAGCCUACGAUCAUCGUACACAUCUCAAGACGCAUAUCAACCGUAAGCACUAAUCCAAUUUCCAUAGUUCAUAGUCCAACAUGCCGAGAUAUGCUAGAAAUAUUUCACCCAUGUAUAUAUUUUCUAUGCAUGUCCAAAAUAACAAUCUUAAUUGAGUCCAUUCAAUGCUUGAUCCAAUUUUAUUAAAUAAGAUGCCAUGAAAUGGUUUAAUUUUUCCCUUGAUUCUCAAAGUGCAUGGGUUGAGGAAAUAUGUGGUUGACUAUGAAAAAUGCUAUGUUAUGCACUUCAUAACUAGUUUGAAAUGUACUCACACGUUCAAUGAAAUUUAUAACAUACAAGAAGUUGGACAAGAAUCAUUUAACAAAUUUAGGGAAACAUUGAAUUGGCUCAUCGAAUAUCCAAACAUUUAAUUAUUGUCUCGUUUGCCCUUUUGUCAUAAGUGCGAGAAGUUUCCAUGAUCUUUCUGAGUGUUGGCUGCAUUCAUAAAGAUACACAUGAAACGCCAGGAAACAUUGAAUUGGCUUAGCGAGAUUACAACUAAUAACAAUAAUAAUGUAAUGAUUGUAUUGCGUGAGUGCAUCCGUAAACAAAAGUAGUCUUCCUACCUAAUUCUCUUUUUUAAAUUGAAAUAAUAUUAUAGUUGUUGUGCUUUUACCAUGCAUUAAUUAGUUUAAUAAUAGUCUAUUUCGCUAUCAUUACCCACAGCAAAUUUUUAAGGGCAAUUAUUGAUUUUUAAUCUUAGGAAGAAUGCCACUAUCUAAGAUUCCAUCCAUGUUACCUAAUUGGAAGAUGUAACAAAGACCAAGACUUGUUCUGGCCAAAAAUAAAAAAUAAAAAACAAAGACCAAGAGUCACCCAUAAUGAAAGACCAAGACAAAUAAUUAGUCACUAGUGGGGCAAACUCUAAUUAAUUGUAAUAAUAGUAUAUUUCUCUAUCAUUACCGACAACCAAUUUUUAAAGGCAAUCAUUGAUUCUUGAUCUUAGGAAGAACGUCACCAUGUAAGAUUCCAUCCAUGUUACCUAGCUGGAAGAUGUAACAAAGACCAAGACUCAUUCAAACCUAAAAUAAAAAUAAAAAACAAAGACCAUGACUCGCCCAUAAUAAAAGACCAAGACAAAUAAUUAGUCACUAGUGGGGCAGAUCAAAUUAAUUCACUAUUAGUAUAUUUCUCUAUCAUUACCGACAACCAAUUUUUAGAGGCAAUUAUUGAUUCUUAAUCUUAGGAAGAAUGUCACUAUCUAAUAUUCCAUCCAUCUUACACGGCUGGAAGAUGUAACAAAGACCAAGACUCUUUCUAGCCAAAAAUAAAAAUAAAAACAAGGACCAAGACUCACACAUAAUAAAAGACCAUGACAAAUAAUUAGUCAAAAGGGGGUAGACUCAUUAAUUUAUCUUUUUUGGCCGAGACAGACUUAUUAAUUAUCCUCGACCUAGAUUGAUAUAAGAUAAAAGGGCGACAAAAUUUAAUUAUGAUCGGCAAGCGAAAAACAUAAGUCCCAUUUAUGGUCCUUUAGAAUUCAUUAAAAGAAUAGUCUAUCUAACUUAAAUAACUCUUCCCUCGAUUAUCUUCAAAUCUUGUUCUAUUUUUUGACGUAUCUUCUAAUAAUGGACCAAAACUUCUUGAACAAAUUUUUUAAACCACGUGCCUUCUAUUCAAAUCUCCUUAUUUAUUUAUUUAUUUAUUUAUUUAUUGUUUUUUAGUGAUUGAGGAUGAAGAUUAUUUCUUUGUUUCCACAUUCACCAACCAAAUCCAAUUAACAAGCAAUAUUGCAAAAGACAAACACCAUGUUUUCUUAUUUCAAUGGAAAAAUUAUCAAAAAAUUCUUAAACCUAUUGUACAUGUGCUAAUUCAAUCUUAAACCUUUUAAUUUUGACAAUUGAUUCAUAAACCUUUUAACGAUUUGCCAAUGUAGUCAUUCCUGUCAAUUUUGUCCGAUAACUAAUGACAUACACCAACUAUCCUAUGUGGCACAGUGGGCAUUGAUGUGGACAAUUUUCGCUUUUUUUUUUUCUAUAUUUCAAUCAUAUGUAAAAAGAAUGACUAUGAUUCAAUGUGAAGACUAUGAGUAAAUUGGAUAAAUUUCAAGUGUAGAGAUUGCAAUGGGAAUUUAGUCAGGUAGAUCUACAAGAUGAAUCUCAAGUUUCUUGGUAGAAGUGUUAGAAAAGUCAUAGACCUAUUAUGUUGAUGUCAAUUUAAUCAUAAAUCUUUUAAUUGUGCUAAUUUAAUUUAGUAUUAAACAUUUGGACCUAGUGCUAAUUUAGUCAUUCUAACUAUUUUUUGGAUGGAUAUCCUACACGAUACGGCCGGUGCUGACGUGGAUAAUUUUGAAUGAUAUUUUAAUAAUUUUCGAAUUCCUUCUUUCUUUACUUUCUUUACUUUCUCUCUUAUAUUUUCCUCCUCUUUUUGGUGGUUGGCAAGCAUCAAUGAGGCUGCCCUCACCCAGGCAACACUUGGCCUCACUAGAUCUUGCAAGGGCAGCCUCACCAGCACUUGCCCUCACCCUAGCAAGGCUGACAAGGUUCACCCUCGCUCAUGUGAGACCCAGCCAUUGGAAAGAGGAGGAGAAAAAGAGAUAAAAAAAGAAGGAAAAAAAUUCAAAAUUAUCAAAAAUAAUCCACGUCGCCUAUAAUGCAAUGUAGGCUUGCUGACGUUUAGCAAUAUUCGGCUAAAAGUAGCUUGAAUGACUAAACUAACACUAGGCCAUAAGGUUUAGAAUUAAAUUGGCACCAUUAAAAAGUUUUGGAGUAAAUUGUACCAAUACAAUAGAUUGGCUUUUCUAAUACUUUUCCCUGAGUUUCUUCUAUAUGUUGCUUUGCAUUAGCAAAAGAAAAUAUUGGCAAAGUAACACUAUUUCUUAAUUUACAUUUUUACAUGUAUAUAUUAAUUUAAAUAUUGCAAUGAAAUUAUUUUAAAAAUUUAGAAAAAAUAUUGUUUCCAACAUUACUUUACUGUCUAUCAGUUUUUCAAAUAUUUGAAAGUAAUGGCUUUGAUAGGAGUUAUGGAAAGCAAUUCUUUUUGUAACGGUUUUUUACCGUCACCAAUUUGUAAUGGUUUUUGUGUAACAUUAAUCUAUAAUGUUCUUGUAACGGCUUUAUAAUGGUCAUCAUUUUAUUAAUUCUCAAUUAAUUUAUAAUGAUUUCUUAAUGGCCCUCUCUUUUGUUUGAAUAUAAGAUUAAAUUCCAAAUCACAAUCCUUUUUUUUUUUUUUUGGGUCAGUAAAUCACAAUCCUUUAAGAUACGCCGAAUUAACAGAAUUCACAUAUCUUUCCUUUUUUGUCAGGUUAUACACAUAACCUUGUUCAUGUUCCUGCUAUUAUUCAGUGCGGAAUAAAAAAAACUGUUUAUUAUAUCUUGAGAAGAUAGCUAUUAUGCCCUAUUGCAUCGAAUUUUUUACUCCAAAAGACAGAAUUAUCCUUAAGUAUAGUGUUUGCAAGUCUCAAACAUUUGGACAAAGGGCAAAGCCGGAGAAAGGGAAACAACGGGAUGCCCUAUUUCAUUUAACAUUAUUUCCUUGCGGGUGCUUGUUGCCGAUUGUUCUCUCUAUGCUUGUAUUCAAUCAAAAAGAAGAACAAAAGCGCCGCAUAAGAGAGCAUCGAGGGAGCAUCUGUCUCUUCUUCGGUGUCAUCUUGUUGGAGAAAUCUUUCCAGAAUAUUUUGAAGCUGACAAAACAUUUCUAUCAGUCUAAGUCUGGAUAUCGAUAGUUAAAGUCUCAAGACUUUAUAGUCUCAAGACUUUGUUAUCUCAAGACUCAAGACUCAAGACUCAAGACUCAAAAUUAUUCUCACUGACAGUCUUUCUAAUCCAGUGUUGAAGGAAAUUCAAAGCCAAGGUUUAUGGUUGAGGAUUUGAUCCUAUCCUCUGGAAUAGAUUCUUUGGUUGGAUAAUCAUUUCGGAUUCUUUAAUUCUUAUCUAAGAUCGAUUGAAGAUCCGAUGGUCGACGAAAUAAUCUUGGAUUAUUCUAUUCUUGGAAACCGAGAUCCUGAUUGUAUGGGCGAACAGGAUUGAUGGGCUAUCAUCAGAUUCCUUAAAUAGCUCGGAUGAUCUUCUUGAUUGAUUCCGUCCAAUGGGUAGAUUGGAGGAAUUCCUUUGGUAAGUACCAACGGCUAUGAUGGCAUGAAAGAGUAUAAAAGGAAGACGUUCUAGUUGUUUCAAGUGUGUGAUCGAUAGAAAAAUUCCAGAGUCUGAAGAUCCUUGAUUGUUAGUUGAGACUGAGCGAAAUUGUAUACAGAGAGUGUUUAUACUUGGUGACGCCUUGAGUGAGUGUGGUAGAUCAUCUACACCUAGAAAUCAAGGAAGAUCAACACUGUAACAACUCUUUGAUCAUAGUGGAAUCCAGCCAAUCGGCUGUCAGUGCAGAAGAGUGGACGUAGGCUUGAAUCAAGCCGAACCACUAUAAACCGAGUGUUCAAUUCUCUCUUUCCCUUACUCAGUCUUGCGAUUGAAUUUUUAACUGUUGCAAAUUCUCUAAUUGUUUAAAUAUCGUGCAAGCUUCGAGAAAUUUUUUGUAUACCUAUUCACCCCCCCUCUAGGUACUCGUACUAGCUACUUCAAUUGGUAUCAGAGCUCGUGUUCUUACUUUGUUUGAAGUGUUUUACUUCAAAGUAAAAGAUCCAUGGCUAGUAUGCUAGCACCGGGGCUGAUGGAGGGGCAAAGCAAUACCAGACCUCCCUACUUCGAUGGAAAGGAUUACAACAUCUGGAAGAACAAGAUGAAAGCUUUCCUACGAUCAAAGGAUCCUCUGGAAUGGGACGUAGUGGAAAAAGGAAUCACUCCUGCUGCUGCAUCAAUCACUGAAAGAGGGAAAGAAACUGUUGAAACCAGCGGAAUGUCUCAAGAAGAAAUAAACAAGAGACAAGCACUCGAUGCUAAAGCAAUUUAUUCGUUAUAUUGUGCUUUGUCACCAACUGAAUAUAACUGAAUAUCUUCUUGUGUUACAGCAAAAGAAGUCUGGGACAGGUUACAUAUCACUUAUGAAGGGACAGAUCGAGUGAAGGAGACCAGAAUUAACAUUCUUCUUGGUCAAUAUGAAUCCUUCAAAAUGAAACCAGGAGAAUCUAUAACUGACAUGUUUAGUCGUUUUACAGUUAUUGUCAAUGGUCUUGAGAACCAAGGACAAAAAAUUUCUGAUCCCAUGAAGGUGAACAAGCUUCUACGUGGACUCUCCAAGGAUUGGAAUCAUAUAAAGACUUCAAUAAGAGAGACGCAAAGAAUCAUGCCAUUAUCUGUAGACGAACUGAUUGGAACUCUUCAGUCUUACGAAGUGGAACGAAUUAAUGAAGACGAAUAUCCAAGAGGUAAGAAAUCUAUUGCACUAAAAUCAAAUGAUGAUUCUGAUGGUGCAGAUUCUGAAGAUGAUAUGGAUGAUAAGGAGCUCGCCCUCAUGAUAAGAAGAUUCAGAAAACUGAAUAGAAAAGGCAGAAGGUUCAUCCCAAAGAAACAAAGUUUUCAGAGACAGCAGACCAAGUCUGUUGAUGAUGAGGAACCAAACAAAGAUGUAGUUUGCUUCGAAUGUAAAAAGAAGGGACACAUCAGACCCAACUGUCCUCUUCUGAAAAAGAAAAGAGGAAAAGCUGAGAAAUCUCGAAAAGCUCUUAAAGCCGAAACCUGGAGCGAUACAGAGUGUGAAGAGAGUGAUGAGGAAUAUGCCAACCUGUGUCUAAUGGCGCAAUCAGACUCAGACUCUGGAUCAGACUCAGACAGUGAAUUUGAGGUAAGUGAUUAUAAAAUCCCUGUCAAAGUCUCUAAAUAUAUUGAUGAGUUAUGUUUUAGUCUUAAGACUUCUCUUAAAAAGAUUUCCGAACUUAAAAAGGAAAACUCAGUUUUAAAACAAAAGGAAAACAUUUUAGAAGAAAAGGUAAAAAAUUUAGACUUGAAUGUUUCUACUCUUAAAGAGAGUGAAGACAAUCUUUCAAAAGAAAAUGCUUUCUUAAAAACUGAUUUAUCAAAUAUUUCAAAGAAAUUUUCAAUAGGGUCCGAAAAACUUGAAAAAGUCCUUUCAAUCCAAAGACCUUACUUCAAUAAGUCAGGUCUAGGUAUGACAGCUGAAACAAUCCCUUUGAUUGAUUUUCCGAAAGUAAAAGAAAGAAUUAAGAAAAGACCAUCGAGAGAGGCUUAUAAAAAUCAUUUCAAAAGAGUUUUUGUAAAGCCUAUAGGUCGAAAUGCUUUAAGGUGUUCUAAGUGUAACAGUCAGGAUCAUUUUGAAAAAGAGUGUCCUAUGGUUUGGAAGCCUGUUAAGAGAGUAUGGCCUAAUAAUGCUCAUCCUACUAACACCAAAGGACCCAAGAAAAUUUGGGUACCAAAGAAAGCUUGAGACUCUUUUUUGAAUGCAGGUCUCUGUCAAAAAGAAGGUAAAGUGGUAUCUUGACAGCGGAUGCUCAAGACACAUGACAGGAGACUCAAAAUGUUUCAUAAAGCUUAUUAAAGUAAAUGGUGGAAAAGUUUCAUUCGGAGGAAAUAGCAAAGGAAGUAUUGUGGGAUUCGGAACUGCGAAAAUUGGAAAUCUCACAAUAAGCAAUGUCUCUCUAGUGGAAGGACUCAACUACAAUCUACUCAGCAUUAGCCAAUUGUGUGAUACUGGUUACAAGAUCUUCUUUCAAGAAGGCAUAUGUUCUGGAAUUAGCAAAGAUUCGACUCAGUCUUUCAUGGGUCGAAGGCAUGGAAACAUCUACCUCCUUGAUGUAAAGCCAAAUGAAGAACAAUGCUUAAUCUCAAUUCAAGAUGAAGCAAUUCUAUGGCACAGAAAACUUGGCCAUAUCAACAAGAAGCAAUUAGCCAAAAUCUCUUCAAAGCAGCUUGUUCGAGGUCUACCUAAACUGCCAUAUCAAAAGUCUGACUUAUGCACUCCAUGCAUUCUGGGAAAACAGGUAAGAAAUUCAUUUAAGCAAAUAAAUCAUGUAUCUACUAAUCAUGUACUACAGUUGCUUCACAUGGAUCUCUUCGGACCAACAAGAACCCAGAGCAUUAGAGGUUAUUCCAAAUGGACGUCAAAAGUGCUUUCCUAAAUGGAUUUAUCCAUGAGGAAGUUUAUGUGGAACAACCGCCUGGAUUUGAAGACCCAAAGAAGCCAGACUCAGUCUUCAGACUGAAAAAGGCUCUGUAUGGUCUAAAGCAAGCACCUCGAGCUUGGUACGACAGACUAAGUAAGUUUUUAUUACAAAAUGGUUUUGUCAAAGGUAAAGUAGAUACUACUUUGUCUAUCAAAAAGGAAAACAAAAACUUUUUACUUGUUCAAAUAUAUGUUGAUGACAUUAUAUUUGGAUCCUCUAAUGAAAGUCUUUGCAAGAAAUUUUCUAAGUCUAUGCAGGAUGAAUUUGAAAUGAGUAUGAUGGGAGAGUUAACAUUCUUUCUUGGACUCCAAGUGAAACAAAUGAAGGAAGGAACUUUCAUCCAUCAAGAAAAAUAUGCGAAUGAUCUUGUCAAAAGGUUUGGAUUGGAAAAGUGCAAAAAGAUCGAUAUACCAAUGUCAUGUUCUCAGAAGAUAGACAAGGAUGAAGAAGGGAAGAAAGUAGAUCAAAAGCUGUACAGGAGCAUGAUCGGUUCACUUCUUUAUCUUACUGCUUCUAGACCUGAUAUUUUGUUUAGUGUUUGUAUCUGUGCUAGGUUUCAAUCAGAUCCUAGAGAAUCACAUCUCAUUGCCGUGAAACGAAUUAUCAAAUACGUUGCUUCAUCUUCAAGCAUCGGUCUUUGGUAUCCAAAGAGGGGAGACUUUAAUCUUCUAGGAUACUCAGAUGCAGAUCUGGCCGGUUGCAGAGUCGAUAGAAAGAGCACUUCUGGAACUUGUCAACUACUUGGAAACAGAACGGUGUCUUGGUUUUCGAGGAAGCAAAACACUGUAGCUUUUUCAACGACAGAAGCAGAGUAUGUAGCUCUUGGAAGCUGCUGUUCGCAAAUUCUAUGGAUAAAACAACAGCUACAAGACUUUGGCAUUGAAGACUCAUGCACAGAAAUUAGAUGUGACAACACCAGCGCUAUCAAUCUCACCAAAAAUCCAAUCCUUCAUUCAAGAGCAAAGCAUAUUGAGAUUCGACAUCACUUUAUUAGAGAUCAUAUUCAAAAUGGAGAAAUCUCGAUUCAAUUUGUUGAUUCAAAAAGUCAACUAGCGGACAUAUUCACAAAGCCUUUGGAGAAGAAUCAGUUCGACUUUAUCCGCUCGAGACUCAACAUUUUGAAGCUUGAAGAAGUUAAAGUCUAAAGACUCACCAACUCUAAGACUCUGAUCUCUUAGACUCUAAAUCCUGAGACUCAAUCAUCCAUGGCUAUAGACUGUAAGUUGUAAAAGGUACUAAUUGUCAUUUAGUUAUAUUAACUCGAAAAGGUACGAUCUUUUGUUUAAUAAUUUUGGCAGUUAUUGAUUUUGAAAAGUAGUGAUCGUUCACUUUCCUUGCACCGAUUGAACUUUCUUUUUCAAAACUGAGUUAUAUAUAUACAGUUUUUUUUUCCUUUCCCCAAUCUUCAAAACCCUAAAAGGCACUCUCCUCUCGAUACUGUUUCUACUCUUUGUUCAUCGUCGAGAAAGUGGUCAUUUUCCUUGGGAAAGCAAGUGAAGGAAUCCUCCAAUAGACAAAGAAGGAUGUCGACUUCGAGGAAAUCAUCAAGAAUCGCAAACAGGGGACCACAAAGAAUGAAGAAGGGACCGACUCAUUUCGAUCUCACUGAGGAAGAAGACUUACCAAGUCAGCGACAGAGUCCGAUUCGCUCUCCUCCACGUCAUUCAGCAUCUCCUGCCCCACAAAGUGCAAGUCACAAUCUGGAAGAAGAGAUAAUCGAGGAUGCCGACCCAGUAAGAGUUCAAAAGCCCUCCUUUUUGUAUACUCUUUAUCGUGCAUUGAAAAGCACAGGUACUCCAUUGAACUAUAUAGAUGACUUCCUUAAGGACAAAAAUUAUGGGAAUGAGUAUCUUUUUCUGAAGAAAAUGGAGGAAUGGGGAAUUGCCCCGAAAGGAAAAGCAGAGGAAGCACUUGCGAACAUUCCAAGAGAUCCUCGUAUGCCAGGACAAAAUCUGAUUGACGGGAACGAUGAUGACAAAAUGUUCCUUGAAUUUAAACCUAAAAUGGGUGUGGCAGUAAAGGUGAAAGGAAAUCGGAUGGAUUUGUUUAAAUCCAAGGAUCAGGAAAAAGUGUAUUUCAGUCUGUUGAAAAGAGGGGUAAUCAACCCUAGAAGUGUCGAUUUUGACUUCCUGGAUUCCAUCAACUUGAACCUAAGAGAGAAGUUGAAUUUGCUUCAACUUGAGACUUUCUGCUCUGACUCUACAGACGGGUAUGAUCAUCUGACCGCUUAUUUCUAUUCAAAUCUUAGCUUUUUGGAUGCGAAUAGAAUUUCAUUCAGUGUUCGAGACAGUCUAUGUGGUAGAUGUGAAUAUGUUGACGGACAUAGUUGGAGUUGAACGGGGACGCUAUCUCCCAAUCAAAGUCUCACAUGCUCGAACUACUCUGGAUCUUGUCAAAGAUAGGGAUGUAGAUAAGAAAAUUAUCUAUUCCAGGAUGAAUGCCAUCAACAUUGUGCUUCACAAGAUUGUGAUCAAUUGUCUCAGACCUAAGUCUACUUCAAAGACUUCUGUGUCUCUUUCUGAAGCAAAAUUGAUGUAUGCGAUCAACUCAGGACGGAAGUUCUCUCUCCCGCACACUAUUCUCUUCCAUAUGUACAGAGCAGUGUCAAAAGACAAAGGACAAUUGCCUUAUCCUGGUCUGGUGACCAAGAUCUUCAGACAUCUGAAUAUUGAACUGCCACAUUCUUUUUGUGUUCGAACGUGUGAUAAGAUGGUGGUAGGGUUGAAAAUGUUAAUGAAGAUGCGUCUGCAAGAACUCUCUAAGGCAAUGGAGAAAUUCAAAGUGAAAUCUCCAGUCCAGUCUGCUUCAAAAAGGAAAGGAAAGAAGGCCAUUGGUACUUCAUCGAAAAAGAGGAAAAGAACUCUUAUCCUGGAGGAUGAGGAUGAGGAUGAAGAUGAUGAAGAUCCCACUAUUCCAGCACUGACAAGAACAAGACGUUCUGUGUCUUAUCCGACAGAACUUCAGCAGAGCAGAGAAGAAGAAGAACAGAGAGAGAAGGAGAAAGAAGUUGAGGAAGAAAGAGAAGAAGAAAAAGAACAGUCUGCUGAUAAAUCUGGAGAGAAGGGAAAUCAAGAGCAUGAUCAUCACUCUUCCCCUUUCGAUGUCCUAGAGACAGGGGGAGUUAGUGAGCAAGAGAGGUCUCCACCUCAUGCUGAAGAUCCAAGACAAUCUCCAGAAGACCCAGAAGAAGUUCAGGUCUCUCAAUUGCCUGAAGAAGGUGAUACGUCGAUUCCAAAUUUGCCAGACCGAACAGAAGCGCCAUCGUCUGCAUACACACCUUCUGAGAAAGUCAAUGCCAGUACACAGACGGAUGAUUCUGCAGAUCUUCGUAGUAUCAUGAAUAUUCUUCUGGAAAUGCGUAACCAGAUAUAUAUUCUGGACUGUGAAAUCCAAGCUUUGAAGCAUGCUGGACAAGCAUCUUCAGUCUCUCUGGAAGAUAAAUUCAAAGACCUCGCUCUGCAACUUCAAGCCAAUGCCAAGAGAGAAGAGGUAGCUCAUCUGCGAGAAGAUCUGAAGAAGCUCGAAGGAGUAGUCCAGUCCAUUGGGGAUUUCCAGAUCGUGCGCAUUCCCAAGCAGACAUGACUCCUUUCUCACCCUCUUUUUAAUGAUGACAAAAAGGGGGAGAACCAAUUUGAACAAACAUUAUUUUAAAACUUUAUUUGACUUUUGUGUUUAUGUUUAUUUUUGAGUAUGACUUGAGAACUUGAACUUGAGUGUUAGACUGAAUUGGCUGUGGAUUUUGAUGCUUGACUGGUUGCAUUUAUAUCAAGUAUUGUUACAUGGUAUUACUCAUGAAAGACUAACCAAUUUGCUGUGGAUGCAGAGUCUGGUUGUUUAUUAAUCUUUAUGAGUUAGCCAUAUUGCUUGAGAAAUGUUUUUGCAGGUCAAAGUUGUUCAAAUCUUCAAGAAAGUUUUGUCACCAUCAAAAAUGGGGAGAUUGUUGGAGAAAUCUUUCCAGGAUAUUUUGAAGCUGACAAAACAUUUCUAUCAGUCUAAGUCUGGAUAUCGAUAGUUAAAGUCUCAAGACUUUAUAGUCUCAAGACUUUGUUAUCUCAAGACUCAAGACUCAAGACUCAAGACUCAAAAUUAUUCUCACUGACAGUCUUUCUAAUCCAGUGUUGAAGGAAAUUCAAAGCCGAGGUUUAUGGUUGAGGAUUUGAUCCUAUCCUCUGGAAUAGAUUCUUUGGUUGGAUAAUCAUUUCGGAUUCUUUAAUUCUUAUCUAAGAUCGAUUGAAGAUCCGAUGGUCGACGAAAUAAUCUUGGAUUAUUCUAUUCUUGGAAACCGAGAUCCUGAUUGUAUGGGCGAACAGGAUUGAUGGGCUAUCAUCAGAUUCCUUAAAUAGCUCGGAUGAUCUUCUUGAUUGAUUCCGUCCAACGGGUAGAUUGGAGGAAUUCCUUUGGUAAGUACCAACGGCUAUGAUGGCAUGAAGGAGUAUAAAAGGAAGACGUUCUAGUUGUUUCAAGUGUGUGAUCGAUAGAAAAAUUCCAGAGUCUGAAGAUCCUUGAUUGUUAGUUGAGACUGAGCGAAAUUGUAUACAAAGAGUGUUUAUACUUGGUGACGCCUUGAGUGAGUGUGGUAGAUCAUCUACACCUAGAAAUCAAGGAAGAUCAACACUGUAACAACUCUUUGAUCAUAGUGGAAUCCAGCCAAUCGGCUGUCAGUGCAGAAGAGUGGACGUAGGCUUGAAUCAAGCCGAACCACUAUAAACCGAGUGUUCAAUUCUCUCUUUCCCUUACUCAGUCUUGCGAUUGAAUUUUUAACUGUUGCAAAUUCUCUAAUUGUUUAAAUAUCGUGCAAGCUUCGAGAAAUUUUUUGUAUACCUAUUCACCCCCCCUCUAGGUACUCGUACUAGCUACUUCACAUCUAACAACUUACAGCUCCAUAUAUCGAUCAAUUAUUUAAAAUUUCUAAGGUUUAAAAGAAUAAUUCAGUGAUAUCGUAUCAUUUUAAGAGGUAUUGGAUUCAGAUGAAAUUGUUAGUACAUGGAGUUAACAUGGAAUGAAUACAACAAAAGUCAACGUCCAUUUGCAGAUUCCAUAUGGGUAGUUUUGGGAUUUUAUCUUCCAUUUCGCUGCUUUCGUUCUUGUGCUAAUUUACAAGUAUAAUGCUUACUCCGCCCAGAAGCUUUCUUAUUCUGCCUAGAUUUAGUAUUUUUUUUUUUUAAGUGGGGUUCCUUGCCUUAAAGAAAUUUUGACUAAUUUAUUUUGCAUCAAAUUUGACUAAUAGCAGAAACAUGCUUGAAACAAUCACAUUCCGCUUUUCUGAUAUGAUAAUUCAAGCUCUUGUUUUACACCAUGGUGGAUUUGUUCCAUUGAUACAUGUCUUGUACCUUGGAAUGAGAGAAUGAACUUGCAAAUCACAUGAAAAACGAAGAAUUUAUUGAGAUUGAGACUCGAAGAUUUAGAAUAAUGGUCAAGCAAUUGAGUCAUUCUAACACCUAAUGUCAAUUGAAUUCGUGAACAAGAAGGGUGAUACCUUUUUCAAUGAAAUAGCAAUGGCCAUAAAGGCAAAAUUCCUCAAACAUUACAAGAAUGUCUCGCUCUUUUUUUUUUUUUUUUUUUGGUAGCCACUGCCUUGGCUUCAAGGUUCAAGUUGGAGGGGCUCACAAUGCUUCCUAUUCCAUAUUACAAAUCUUUGGGACUGAGUCAGGAGCUCCAACUGGAGCACAUAUUGGCGAUAACGACGAGUAGACUCUCAAAUAUGCAUGUGGCAUAUGUUGGUCGAUAUAAUACAAUCCAUCUACAAAGAAAGAAUGCAGCCUCAUUAAGUAGUGCCCACAAACCUCUAUGGUCUUUGCUUCGAAGAACACCCCACGGUCUGCUAGGUAUUCAUCUUCAUUGUCUACUGGUGAAUUGGAGAUGUAAUUGGGAAUAGACUACACCAAGCACAUUAAUAGAGUUGGUGAAAAUAACCUCGAGAACGUGAAAUGGUGGAACUUGUGACUUACUCAUUCCACUGACAUAUACGGCACCUUCGAAGUCUAUGUUCAUUACUAGCCAACUUUUGGAAGUCAAAUAGAUCCAACUUGUUUGCGUAAAAUUUAGAAAUAAUUAGCGUAGGGUGAAAUUAGUUUUUACAAGAAUCAACUCCAUAGGAAUGUACCCAACAUGGACACAAGAACAACAAUGACACUGUAUAGUCCAAAUCAUGGUGAGGAUAUGAAUUAGUAUCGGAUGAAAGAGGGAAGAGUCAAAGAUCCAAUGGUGUUCCAUUUAUCCUACUAUUGCUCUGGAAGACAUUUGGGUUUCAUUUGUUUCGCGGAAAACAAUUUCCAAGAAAAGUUUUUUGGAUAUUUCAAGGUUCGUUUAAUAGAAAAUGAACUAGUUGAGAAAAAUAUUUUGCAUUAAUAGCAAAAAGUUUUCUAAAAUAGGAGAAAACAUUUUCCUCACUUACUCUAUGUUAUCUCACACCCUUGCUAGCCUCUUCAUCUUUCUUUUUUUCUUUUUAAAAAAAUUUGAAAAUUUUAAAUCAUUUUUCAUUUUUUUCCUUUCUUUUAUUUUCCUUCUUUUCGGGCCCAUCCUAUGGUUGGUGAUUGACCAAAGAAGGAGGAAAAGAAAAAAAAAAAAAGAGGUAAAAAUAGAAAAGAAAAAGUAAAAGAAAAAAAAAGCCGAAAGAAAAUUUAAAAAUAAAAUAAUCAAAAUUUCGAUUUUUUAAAAAAUAAAAACAUAAAAAAAUUAUUAAAUUGAGUGCACAAAAAGAAAUUGAAUCGAAUUUUCUACAUUGAAUGGCGAAAAAUAUUUUCUAGUUCAUUCUCGUGUUUCAAGCAAACACCGGAUAAUAUUGUUAUUUUCUUAAAAAAUGACUUUCUAGAAAAUAUUUUCCAGAAUCACAACAUUUUAUGCGAAACGAAUGAAGCCAUGGAGAGUGCCUAGAUACCUUUGAUUCCUGGGGUUUAUGACUAAUAACUAAUAAGAGCCAGCAAAAAUCGUAUUUUUCAUAUCAUCAUAACUGUCCAUUAUCUAUUAAGCCAAAAAACGACAAGUAUGUUCCUAGCAAAAGGCAUAACUCUCACUAGUUUUACAUGUUACUCCUUUUAAUAGCAUUCUCAUGAUAUGGAGCAAUUACUCUGUAAAUCUGAUAACCAAAAAAAUGUUGGAUGUAAUGUAAAUCUCAUAAAAAAAGAAAAGAAAAGAAAUUCACGAUCAACAUAAGCAAAGCAAGCAGGAGAGAAGAAAAUUAAUUUUAUGAAUCUAAAUAAAGAUGAUAAUUUCACCAACUUAAUGAAGUAACUACUUUUGGCUGUGCUGAUUUAUAUUUUCAAGUAACAUAUAGCUUUCAGAUAUAAAUUUCAGCUGUCCUCAGACACUUGAUGAUAAACUAACAUUAGGAUCACACCUAUCGCAUAUUCAUUCAUUCACAUCUAUGGACUGUGACUUAUAUUGCCUCACUCUUGUCAAUUUAAAGGAAAAAGAGUAUAAUUAUAGAAGAAUAACAUUACCAUGUAUGCCAUUAGAACAAUAUGAGUUACUUAGAGUCAAUAGGCAAAUUGAAGAGUUUGAUGUAUAACAUAUUUACGAAGCAUUGUUGAACAUCUAGAUUUUAUUAAAAUACUUAAGAGAAACCGUGCAGACCCCAUAAGAAACCCAAUCGUAAAAUGCAAAAUUUUGGUACAGUUAUUAUCUUAUAAUUUUCCACCACAUCAUUUAUUUAUUAAGUUUAUAUAAUAUUUUCAAGAUAAAUAAUGGCCUCUCGUCUCCUUAUGCAACCAAGCAAGUGAGAUGGUAGAAGACUUUGACUUGCUUGUAAUUACUAGAAUCUUCCCCCUAGGUUUUGCCGGCUUUUUAUCUUAUCCCUUUCUUUGCAGCUAAGCAAGCAAGAUAGUGGAAGACUUUAACUUGCUUUUUCUUCCCCUUCCUUCCCCCCCCCCCUUUCUUUUGAGUAGGUCUUGUUGACUUUUGCCUUAUCACUUUCUUUGCGAUUAAGCAAGCAAGAUGGCGGAAGACUUAGACUUGUUUUCCCUCACUAGAGAAUUUUUUAAAAGGUAAUUAACUCGGUUCAUAGAAAAAUUGAUAUAGAAUCUCCGAAAAAGUCUUUUUCUUGAUAAAGAUUUCUUUUGCAAAAUGCAAAUACUAACAUGAGCAUGCUAUGUAUGGAGAAAUAUCCUAUUGACCCAAUUUGGCAUCGUGCUUGAUUACUGCAACAACAUAUUUGUUCUUGAGAUAUCAAUCCUCGAUGAUGGUCAGAAUGACUCACGUAUAGCUCGAUGCAUGCCAGAAUGACUCAAAUGUGACGCUAGAUCUAGUCAAGUGUCGUUACAACAAGAUGCCUCUAUUUUUUAGUAGAGCCAUGACAAAGGGUUGGGGGGGGGGGGGGGGAGAGAGAGAGAGAGAGAGAGAGAUUGCGGGGGAGGGGAUAGAGAUAGGGGAUAAGUUGUGGAAGGCAUCAUUGGUGUUGGUUAGGGGAGUGAUUAUGGGAUGGUGACAUUAAUUGGUAGUGGUAGUGAAGGGGGGGUUGGUGGAGAGAAAGAGAGAGAAACGAUGCGGUAGAAUAAAUGGUAUUUCAUGUGACAAUUGUACGGAGGAGGUUUGGCUGAAUUGCCCCAAAUUGAUGUUGUCAUCUGGACGUGAAGCGCAUUGAUAUCAAGAGAAAGAUCAUGUUUAGAAAACUAAAAAAGAUAGGAUCCAUAUAAGUUCCUCUUGAGUUCCACUAGAUCUAGAAGUUUGUAACGAGUAUGGAACGAACGACGUACCACUCAAUUGUUGGUCAAAGCAAUAGGCAAGUGAAGAAAAAGCUCAUGUAGUUGUCACACCACAUACAAUGGGCUCCAUAUGCCGGGGGUUCCACACUCGAGCAUGAGGCCAACUAAGGAGUCCCGUGAAAGCAAAUGGAAAAAUCAAUUUUAUUUUUUCUCCGUUGAUUAACAUGAAUUGCAUAUAGACAUGAUUCAGACUCAUUAAAAUAUAUAUUAAAUUAAAUACUUUGAAUUCAUAAAAGCAUAUUUUUUAAAUUUUAGCUAAUUCGUAUAUGAUCCAAGUCACUGAAUAUGGUUAAGAUGUAAAUUUUUUACCAUUUCAAUGCCUCUAGCAGUGAGAGGCUUUCAUUUCAAUGGGAAGGGAAAGCAAAGUGUUGUCCAUCUGCACUUUGAUUUAUGCGGUCAUGCGAUCCCAUUACAUAGAGAACUAACAAAAGCUGAGAGUUAAUCGGUUAAAGUAGUAAAUUUUUUCAACAAGGAUGCGUAAAUCCAUGGUGGGAUUGUGUGUAUCCCAAGCACAUCUGGCUCAUCUUUUAAGGUAAGAGGGGAAGUAAUUUCCAAUGUGAACACUUUGCAGAAGUUGCCAAUUAAAGUAGAUGAUUGUGGGGCUCUUUCGAAAUAGUAUCGUAUGAAAACUAAUUUCCAUUGUGAACACCUUGACUUCAACAUAAAAGUAUGUACUCUUUCAAUUAAUGGGGCUAGAAAAGCAAAAGCCGAGGAUAAAGCAAAAUCUUCAAUUUGAUUUAAGUGGCCAUGAGGUCCAAUUACAAUCUAAUGGCUACGUCAAUCAGCAAUAGGGGUGCCAAUCAAUCAAUAAUUUGAGUGGCAAAGUGGAGCCAUUGUCAAAAGGUGAGGAUAAAGCAAAAAGUAUUGCCCAUCUUCAAAAAGUUAAUUUUCACUAUGAUUUGCUUGGCCAACGGAUCCAAUAACAAAAAGAACUAACAAGGAAAGUCUACAAAGGGGUCGUCUUGGCAAUUUCGAGGGAGGAAUUGUUUUGGGCUCUUGGUCAAAAAGGUUAGAAUCAAAAGAAGUCUCGGCAAUUUCAAGGAAGGAAUUGUUUUGGGGUCUUGGCCAAAAAGGUUAAAAUCAAAAGAAGACAUGGGAUGGUCCUCGGUAAGACCUUAAACUGCAGCAGUCCGGGGGGGACAACCUCGAUAACAAGGCCCCGCGCGGGCAUGUAAUCCCGUGCCUCCCCUCCUUGGGGUCCCCGAAGGCCAUACGAGGGGUAUUCCCUUUCCUGGGGAAGAAAAUUAUCCGGUUGGGGGCAAAAGCCUGGCCCCUGGAAAAUACNNNNNNNNNNNNNNNNNNNNNNNNNNNNNNNNNNNNNNNNNNNNNNNNNNNNNNNNNNNNNNNNNNNNNNNNNNNNNNNNNNNNNNNNNNNNNNNNNNNNNNNNNNNNNNNNNNNNNNNNNNNNNNNNNNNNNNNNNNNNNNNNNNNNNNNNNNNNNNNNNNNNNNNNNNNNNNNNNNNNNNNNNNNNNNNNNNNNNNNNNNNNNNNNNNNNNNNNNNNNNNNNNNNNNNNNNNNNNNNNNNNNNNNNNNNNNNNNNNNNNNNNNNNNNNNNNNNNNNNNNNNNNNNNNNNNNNNNNNNNNNNNNNNNNNNNNNNNNNNNNNNNNNNNNNNNNNNNNNNNNNNNNNNNNNNNNNNNNNNNNNNNNNNNNNNNNNNNNNNNNNNNNNNNNNNNNNNNNNNNNNNNNNNNNNNNNNNNNNNNNNNNNNNNNNNNNNNNNNNNNNNNNNNNNNNNNNNNNNNNNNNNNNNNNNNNNNNNNNNNNNNNNNNNNNNNNNNNNNNNNNNNNNNNNNNNNNNNNNNNNNNNNNNNNNNNNNNNNNNNNNNNNNNNNNNNNNNNNNNNNNNNNNNNNNNNNNNNNNNNNNNNNNNNNNNNNNNNNNNNNNNNNNNNNNNNNNNNNNNNNNNNNNNNNNNNNNNNNNNNNNNNNNNNNNNNNNNNNNNNNNNNNNNNNNNNNNNNNNNNNNNNNNNNNNNNNNNNNNNNNNNNNNNNNNNNNNNNNNNNNNNNNNNNNNNNNNNNNNNNNNNNNNNNNNNNNNNNNNNNNNNNNNNNNNNNNNNNNNNNNNNNNNNNNNNNNNNNNNNNNNAUAGAUUGAAUUAGAGAAACUUCAAUUUAGUGUGGUUUCCAUAUGAUUUUUUUUUGGUGACCCGAGAACCACUGUACAGCCGGCAAUCGGCGAUGUAAACCUGGGGCGACUAAGCCACCACCACAGACCCAAUCACAGUUGAGUUGCGUGAUUUGCGGUACACGGGAUUUGAACCCCUCCAUCCUGCACAUAUGUCAUAGGGGCGCUUAUCCAGUGUAGCCACCACGGGCAGUGGUUGGUUUCCAUAUGAUUUAAUGAGGGAAAAUUAUCAAAAAAGUUCUAAAUUUAUUGCACUUUUACCAAUUCAAUUAUAAAUUUUUUAAUUCAAUUUGUUUAAUCUUUAACUUAUUAAUAAUUUCCCAAUAUAAUCUAUUUGUAUAAUUUUGAUAUAAAAUUGUUGAUUUGAACUAUGAGCGUCUUUACUUGACAUGGCUGGUGAGGACUGGCAGCCUGACCAUAGCGGGCUCUCGGCUCCUGCUUGCCGUGUAUGAGGGCAGCGUGCCUCGGCCUUCACCUGCCAAUCAGCUUUUUGAUUCGCCGUUCUUCCACAGUGGGCCACCCAUAUUCUUUUGAAAUUUCGCCAACUUUGGGUUGGGCGUCCAAGACACGUGCCUCCACCUAAACAUGGCACGUGAUCAUGUUCCCGCCGCAGAAAGUGAACACAGAACCGCGUCGUCGGACUCCCCAGGUACAAGUUCUAUCUACUUCCAUAUCUGAAGCAUAUCGAAGCCUCUACGACCAGAGCGAGAGCUUCGGCUUAUAUCGGCGGAGGAAGCAGCGAUCUUCUUUCUCGUGAAUCCACCGAGCAGUACACCCGAGGCCAUCGCGAAGAGCAUCUGCAGUCACUCCUUCCGAACCACCGGCCUCAAAGGACUGGUUUUUCAGCAGGCACCAAUCAGCAGGUAAAAUCAACUCGAAUCGUCUCGAGUUUCGAACUUUUCAGUGUUCCGCUUGCUAUAAUUUCUGAUAAUGGACUCCGCUGAGGUGAGUAGGGUUCUUGGAUUUGGGGGGUCUUUGGUGGAACACGAGGGUCGUUUCUGGAUUUUAUCGAAAUACGGUAAGUUCCCCCUAUGUAGUUGGUGAUUUCGUAGCCACUACUCGUCCUUUCUCGCGACGUUCUGACCUGAGAUGAUCUGCAAAUUUACCUUCGUCUCUUUCCAAACCAAGCCGGUCUAGGUCGAGGCGUGAAGGUGAUCCUCGGAAUUGCGCAGCCUUUCGGGACUCGGACCCAACUCGAUCUGCUUCAAGGCGACUUCUUCUCAAACACUGAAACCCGUCACAACUAUUUCAUCUCUGAAUCGCUGCUAGAGGUAAGCACAACCUUCAUUCUCUGGUCCAUACCAAUUGAUAGCACAAAGAAUAAAAUACAUGUGAUUAUUACUCAUCCCAUGACGCCUAACAUCCUUUUAAGGCAUACAGAAUAAUACAUGUGAAAUUCCUUCGACUUUUGUAAAAUCAUUAUCAAAUACAUAUUACUAAUUUUUGUUACUACAAUCUUGUCAUUUAAACUAAUCGGUUGAAUUUGGUGGAAUCACACGUUGGCCCUUAUCCCGGUAUUGUUUUCAAAACAUCAACGGUUCACUGAACUCCAUUGGGAUGAAGGCCCCAUUCCAUGAAAAUUAUGAAAAUACCCUUCUAGACCUGAUUUUGGGUCCAUUGGCCCUAUAGGUACCCCACUUGUCAAAAAUUACUUAAAGCUUGAAACAUCCAAAAUACUUAGUUUUUGUAGAAAUAAUUGUCUUUUUUCUCUUGAAAACAGUUUAAAACUAACUAUAUAUAUAUAUAUAUAUAUAUUUCCAAAUAUAGAUCGUGCUGGUCUAUUCUCUUCAAUAAUUGCAGAAAACCUUUCAAAGCCUACGGAUCAAAAUUGUCAACGACAAAAAUUUAUUUGAACAGAUCAGAUCAACUAGAGAAUUUUUGAAUGUCCAUAAAACUAUUAUCCAUUAUAUUGGUAAUGAUCAUAAUUUUUGGAAAAUGACAGAAUAUUCAAAUAUUUUUUGGAAGUUAUGAAAAAUACACAAUUGUACUUAUUAUUAUUAUUAUUAUUUUUGGUGGUGCUGGUCACAAUGGAAAACUUGAAAGUGAGCAAUGCUGCUGUUUUCAAUGCACUCACACAUAUUUAAUAUGUGGAUUAUGUGGGUUAAAAUAGAGAAACUUGUCAUAAAGUGUGGUUUUCAUGAGAUUUAACUGCUUACAGCAAAGCAGUGAUAUAGCAUAUAAAGUUACCAACCUACGAUAGAUUUGACAAUAUGAUUUAUGCAUGUGUAGGGUGGGAGAGAAUGUAGCGUUUACAGGAGGAAGAACGUCUAUGAUAAUAUCAUACUGAUAUAUUAGCAGGAGCCACAUUUAUUUGUUUAACAAUAUGGUUUAUAAGUAGAUAUGAACAGAAUUGGUCAUUCUGUACUCUCGUCCAAAUUGUGCUCUCUCACAUUCAGCCUCUCUCUUGCAGAACAAUUCGGAACUAUUGUCCUCUCUUGCUUGCUUUGAUCUUUUCCCUCUUGAAAGUUUUCACCCGGGCUUGUUUAAGGUCUCCUCUCUCCAAUCUCGCACCUCUCUUUGCAUCUCAGCUCACGGAAGGUAAUUGCUUUUUCAUGUCUUAUUAGCGUGUCGAUUCUAUUGAUCCGUUGCUUUGUUAUUGGAAUAAUCGGCUGAACUAAGUGCAUUUUGGGCCCCUUUUUGUCAAUUGGGGAUGUGGGGUGGCCACUAAAUAGCAAAGGAGGGUCUUUUAUUCUCUCUCUAGAGUCGUCGUUACCUGUUAACGAGGAAUGUACCCAGCUCAGACUUGACUUUGGUGAAAAAAGAAAACCUUUGUUUUCGACUAUAGACGUAGCUAAUCCUAAGAAUGUCUGAUUGUUAGUUGCAUCGUAAUUCAGUAUUGAUCUUUUGUUGAACUAGAACGAGUAGGUCUGCAAGCGCGCUAGACUCUAUUGCGUGCAAAAUUGCCACAUUUCGCUUGAACCCAUAGGCCAUUUCUUUUUUUAUGAAUUGUGAGGUUUUUCUGUGUUUGAAGGUCCUAGAUCAAUUUAUAGAAAAAAAAAAUCAGAAAAAUAGAAGUAGGCUAGUUCUUGGGUCAACUAGUUUUGUUCUCGGUUACAAAAAUGGAGAACUAAUUAUUACAGAAUCAGUUCCCGAUUCUUAGUUUAGAACUUACUCAUCCUGAAACCAAUCAUCCUAAGAGUUAGUGUUCUCUUAAGGAGAUAAUGUUCGACAAUUUUACCUCCCUAUAGAACAUUCCAAAGGAGUGAUUCUGUUUUCCUCAAAUUGUUGGACCAUUAAUCGUAGAAAGCACUUGCAAUAGUAGGAAAAAAAAAAUCUAGUUGAUCUUCUGACACACAUGAAAACGAUCAAAUAAAUCGAGCCAUACAUGCAAAUUAGGAGAUUCACCUAGCUUUAUAUCACUUAUUUCUUACACCUCUUUGUGGUGAUAUUCUCAUUAUGGGCCCUCCGACAAAAAUGGGGACAAGCACUCAACGCCAUUCUCAAGGUGGUCGUCUCUGAAUUUUCCUCAGCAACUUCUUUUUACUUCCCUCCUCUUCUUCUCCUUCUUCCAUUGAAUCAAUACCUAAUUUCUAAUCGUUCAGAC